Molecule: long non-coding RNA, 71285 nt
Filed under: Capsicum annuum
Lineage: Eukaryota; Viridiplantae; Streptophyta; Magnoliopsida; Solanales; Solanaceae
Description: long non-coding RNA (CANN_LNC003083)
Source: RNAcentral
CCAUCUUUAUAUACCUUUGAUUUUCUUUUUAUUUCUUUUGACAACAUUAUUUGGCAAAAUAAGAUAAUUCAUCCUAUGUCACAACUUGCAAUAUUUAAAAGGGUAUAGGAUAUGGUCUGCUAUUUCCUUUUCCAUGACCACACACGCUUAUGGAAGCAGGCAACAAAGACUAUGUCAACUAAGUACUUAAGCCAAAAAACGUACGGUCAUUGGUCUAUAAAUAGGCAAAUGCUAGACAUCUUAGUUCUAUCCAAUCAUAUUCACUUCUAUUUCAACACUGCAUUAACAAUUUAUAGACUAGCAAUAUGUCAAGAAUCUUGCACAAGAUUGAAGAGAAGCUACAUAUACACCACCACAAACUUGGAAAUGAUCCAGCAGCAGCUCAAAACAAGCCAGAAGAGACUCAUGAGGUUAAUGAUGAAAGCAAUGUAGAUAAGAAAGAGGAUAUUGAUGAUCAUGAUAAGAAGAAGAAUUUGGUGAAAAAAGUUGCUGGUAAAAUCGCGAAAAAAUUGUUACAUGGUCACCACAAAAAAUCCGGAGAGGAAGGCUAUGAAGGAGAAGAGGAGGAGGAGGAGGAGGGGGAGGAAGGAGAAGAAAUAGAAGAGGAAGAAGGAGAAGGAGGUGGUUUUGAAUUUGAACUCAAUUUUGACUUUUGAAUUUUUAUUACUAAGAUUUAGGUAUCAACUCAAUUGUUGUGUGCCUUUAUAUAUAUGUACAUGUCUGUUCAUUGAUUUAAGAGAAUAUCUGUAGUUCUUCAGAUACCUCUCAACGGGUGGUUUGAAAUUUGUAAUAUGUUACCGUCUUUGGUUUUAUGUGAAUGUAAACAUAUAGCUCUUUCCAUUUGAAAAAUACUUUUAUUUAUCCCAAUUUAAGUGUCUUAUUGUGUGUCCCAAACAAAAUAUAUCUCCUUUUAUUUUUAUUUUUAUGUUUAGUAGGUUUUGCAAUUUCAACAUUUACAUGAUAAAUUUAAUGACAACAAGAUUUAAAGGACUACACACAUUUUAAACUAAAAUUACAAGAUUUUAAGAUUUCUUUUUGUCUUUAAAUUCCGUAUCAAGUCAAACUAAGACACUGAAAUUGAAAUAGAACAAUAAAGCACAUUCUUCCGCAGUUAGUUAAGAUUCCUCGACCGGUAAACUUUGUAUCCACUGCAGUUAAACUCAAAUAUAAAUAAAUUGGAACUGUGAUUAUAACAAAUGAACACCAAGACCGUAGAAAAAAUGGCUUCUCCUCAUGUUUUUCUUUUCCUUUCAUGUCCAAAAGGCCAUAUGAUCUAUUGAAGUCAGUCUGUUCGUUAGUUAUGUGAUAUGGUUAAUGGUGAUUGGAAUUAGCUUGGGUUAUAACUAAUUGUGAUUUGUAGUAAUGAGCUGGAUAUAAUUGUCAACUCAACAGACGACUAUAUGUGUCUGAAUUUGUACACAACAUUCUUUCUGAAUCAAUUGAACAUACUAAUUUCUUCUCCUCCUAUUCUGUCUCAAUUUCAUUGCUUUCGAUCUCAAUGGCUGCUAAGAAAAUCACCAACGAACACACAUUCUCUAGUUGAUACACAAUAUUAAUAAGUAGGAAAAUUGUAAAAAGUUUCAGAAGUUAGUUAACACUGGAAAGCUAUAGUGUAGUUAGUUACUAAGCAACUAAAGUUAGUUAAGUAGUUAUAACUAACUCAAGUAGCCUAGUCAAUGGAUAGUGGAUCAUGAGCUCUAUAUAGACAUGUAAUUCAUUCAUUUUCGUAUAGAUAUACAAACAUUAAUUCUUCUUUCCCAAAAUCUCUCUCUCUUUCUUUGUUUUCUCAAUUCUCAUUCUCAUUAACUGUUUUCUCGAGUUAGUUACUCCUGAAGCAGUAAUUUCGAUCCCCGAGUUCAUUCGAACUUUUGCAAUCGAGUAAAAGUUAGUAUCAUUGGUAGGGCUGUGCAUAUUUUGGUUAAAACCGAAAAAUCGAACCAAAAUUUAAAUUUGAUUUCGUUUUUUCGGUUUGGUUUCAGUUUCCAAUUUAUAAAUUUCGGUUAAACGGUUCGGCUUUUAAUUUUUUUUUUUAAAAAUAAAAUUCGGUUAAACCAAAAAUCCGAAAAUCCAAAAUUAUAUUAAUAACAUAUAUAUAUAUAUAUAUAUAUAUAUAUAUUAUUAAUUUAUUAUAUAUAAAAUAUAAUAUAUUUAAUAUAUAAAUAAUAAAUUAAUAAAUGUAUAAUAAGUUUGUUAUAACCCUACUUCUCUAAAUCUAAAUCAUAUCAGAUAUCAGUAUAUCACAAUCCAAAGCAGCCAUUUUUAUCACUUUUCAGUUUUCACAGAACUUUCUUUACAAAUUACAACCAGUCAUCGACACCGGAGGCGGACGAUGGACCGCGGGUGACAACGACGCAGACUCUCUUUGUUUACAGCGAUACCGGAGGUGGCGAUCUGUGACUGUGGUGUAAUUGGUGUUUGUGUUUUUUUACCAGUGAGUCGGUGACUGACUAACUGAGGUCUUCAAAAUAUCGGCUGGUGGCAGGUGAUAUUCCGGCAAUCAAACCCUUUUUUCGAUUAUUUAUUCCGACGAUUAGUCAGCCUUCAAAAUAUGUCUAAUGUUGAUAUUUUUUUUAUUGAUGAUUUUCAUUUAACUUGAUAGUUUAAGGUUAAAGGCUGAGAACUAAUAAACUAAUUAUUUUGUUUUCGCAGAUUGGAAAUAGGGCAAGUGAAGAUGGAGCAUCUAAUGAAAAUAUUUCAAUUUCAUCUCCAAAUGAAGUUGAAACUGCAGUUGAAUAUGAACAAUCAAAAAAAAGAAAGCUCAUGGAACCGAGGGCAAUAUUUUGACAAAAUUAUUGAUGGAAAAACCGGAGCUUAGAAAGAAAAAUGUAAGUAUUGUGAAAAAUUUAUGCUGCUGCUUCAAGUGCUAGUGGUACUUCAACGAUAAAUAAUCACAUGCUAAAAUUAUGUCCUUACCGCCCUAAUCUCCCUAAUGUUGGUGUGAAAGAGAAAGGCAGCCAAACAAAAUUAGCUUUUCUACCAUCUUCUGCGGAUGAAAAGGGUGGGGUAUUAGGUACUUGAACAUUUGAUCAAGGACGAAGUAGGAAAGCUUUAGCUCAAAUGAUAGUUGUUGAUGAGUUACCGUUUAGUUUUGUUGAAAAAGAAGGUUUUAGAAAUUUCAUGAGAGUCACAGCCCCGCACUUUCAUAUUCCUUCUCGUAGAACAUUGACAAGAGAUUGUUAUUAGUUCUACAAUGAAAAGAAACUAGUUUUGAAAAAGGUUUUCAAAGAAGUACGUUCAAAAGUUUGUCUUAUGACAGAUACUUGGACGUCUAUACAAAAGAUUAACUACAUGUGUCUAACAACUCACUUUAUAGAUACAAAUUGAAAAUUGCAUAAAAGAGUAAUAAAUUUCUAUCCAAUUUCUAGUCAUAAAGGUGUUGCUAUGGCUGCUUUCAUUACUAAUUACUUGCUUGAAUGGGGGUUGGAUACUAUAUAUAGUAUAACAGUUGAUAAUGCUAGUUCCAACGAUGUUACAAUGAUAGAAAUGUCUAAAAAAUUAAAUAAUUGGGGAACUAACAUAAUGGAGGGUCAACAUCUUUAUGUGAGGUGUAUGACACAUAUUCUUAAUCUUAUUGUGUAAGAUGGGUUAAAGGAAAUUGAUAAGUCUAUCAAGAGAGUGAGAUAAGUUGUGAAGUAUGUUAAACAAUCUACCGCGCAAGUUAAAAAGUUCAAAGAAUGUUGUGAAUCUCAAUUGAUAACUUAUAAGAAAUCUUUAUGUUUAGAUGUUCCUACUCGAUGGAACUCUACAUACUUGAUGCUUGAAACAGCACAACAUUUUGAGCUUGCAUUUGAAAGAUAUAGUUUCUAUGAUAAUGGUUUCUUGGAUUAUCUCCGUACCUCUCCUUGUGAAGAUGAAACUAGGACAGACACCUUUGUAAGUGAGGACUGGGAAAAUCUGAGGAUGAUGGUAAAAUUUUUGAAAACUUUUUAUGAUUUUACUUUGAAAGUUUCUAGUUCAAAAUAUGUUACUACAAAUGUACAUUUUGUGGAAAUUGCUGAGCUUGAUCUGAUUUUGAAAGAGAUGAUAGAAAAUGAAGAUUCUAAUUUGAAAAAAAUGUCAUGAAAUAUGAGGGAAAAUUUUAGAAAGUAUUGAGGUACUCCGGAGAAAAUAAACAAAAUGAUCUUUAUUUCAUCUGUGUUGGAUCCCCGCAACAAACUUGAAUAUGUUCCUUUUGCAAUUGUGGACAUGUUUGGAAAAAAAAUUGAGGAAAAGUUGUCCGAUUCAGUAGAGUCAUAUAUGAAAGCCUUGUCUAAGCAUUAUGUUAAGAAAUAAAAAAACUCUUCAUCUUCAUCCACUUCUUCUUAUUCUGGGAAUUCUUCAUCCAUAAGUGGUUAUGGAAACUUUCAAAGAAGAGAAAUAAUGAGAACAAAAUAAUAUUUUGAGAAACAUAAAGAAAUUAGUGGAGGUUUAAGCAAUAAAUCUGGGUUGGAAAAAUAUCUUGCUGAAGAAAUUGAGCCAGAUUUGGAACAAUUUGAUAUAUUAGGGCGGUGGAAAGUUAAUGAGCCUAGAUUUCCCAUUCUCGCUGAGAUGGCUCGUGAUGUGUUAGCCAUUCCCAUUUCCAGUGUCGCAUCUGAAUGUGCAUUUAGCACGGGAGGUCGGGUUAUUGAUCCCUUUAGGAGUUUAUUAACUCCUAAACUAGUGCAAUCUCUUAUUUGUCUUAAAUAUUGGCUUAGAAGUGAAUCUACUCCAAUUAAUAUCAAGGAAGAUCUAGAGUAUCUUGAGCAACUUGAAGUUGGUAAGAAUUUUAUAAUUUUGUAUUCAUUAUAUUAAAAAAAAUUCUUAGUUAUAUUUCACAUCAACUAACAAGUGUCUUAUAUUUUUUCAGAAAUGGCUUGUAGUAGCACUGAGUCUAGCAUUGUUGAUGUGUAGUUGUCAAUAUACAAAUGUGAAUUGUAGGCAAGUUUGUUUUUGGAUUCUUCUUCUACUACUUCUACUAUUUUCUUGAUUUAAUGAGUUAUGGACUAUGAGUUUUUUCUCUCAGUUGUACACUUCUUAGGAUGUGGAUGAUCUAUAAUGUAUUGUAUUGUGUUUUGCUGAUCUGUAGAAGUUUUACGAGUCGUUUGAUAAAGUGUUCGAUAGGAAAUAGAUUGUGUCUAAAGAGGAGUAUUCAGGCGAGUUUAUGGCAUUUUCUUUUUAACAUGGUAGUUUAUGGCAUUUGCUUAAUUUUACAUUUGGAAAACUGUUAAGCAGUUUUUAGAAUGAAAAUGAAUACUGCAUCAUCCAAGAAACUCCGUAUGUUAGUCCCAACAAUGAUAUUGCUCGUUACCAUAGAAAACUUGAUGCACACGUAACAAGUAUACUGGAGUCUGUUAGUCCCAUUAAUCACAUUUCUCAUAGAGAACUUGAUGCACAUGCUGCAGCUACACUGGAAUUUGAUACGAACUCCUUCUUGGUUUCAUACAUUCCCCAAGACGAGGGUUACUGGAAUUCUUGGCACUUUUAUUUGCGCUAAUGUUGCAACGUCCUUGUUUUUGCAGGGUUGAACAUGAGAUCCAUGAUUUUUAUAGCUAUAUUUUUGUCGAUAUAGACUUCAACAAUGUCUAGAACACUUCUGUGGCUGCUGAUCUUUUUUUUGCGAGAUGGAUCCACUUAUCGCUAUUGUUUUUUAGUACAUUUUCACUUUCUUUAGAAGAAUGGUACUUUACAGUAACUUUAGUUUAAUUGAUGUAAUAUUUUGCACUAUAGGUAUACAUAUUCUCAAUGACUCUCCUUUCGACGUUUUGUUUUAAUCCAAACUAAGGUUCUCUUUCAGUGUUGGUUGCGUUGGUUUAAGUUAGUGCUGCUUUUCUAUUCUGUUGGUGAGCAGGUCUUUAUCAUUCUUGUUCUAUGAUUAUCUAGACAGUGCACGGUCUGUGACAACUCUACAACAAAAUGAAGUUUAAUAAUGUUUAAGCUGUUAGAGCAUAGACUGGGGGUAAUAUAACUCCGGUUGCCAGUAGCAGGAAAACUUUGUUGCCUUUGUGAUAUGGCUUUGUUCCCUUUAAGCAAUUUGCAAAAUUGUUGGUACAUCCAUUCAGAGAAAUUUAUGAGUUUUGUGUUUGUUUUGUGGACAGGACUGUUUAUGAAAAUUUAUAUAUAAUAAUCAAUGACGUUAUGUAUUAUGUUAAGCUAUGAUUAUUUCAUUUCGUCAUUUAUGCUGAGUUAUUUAUAGUUAUUUAUAUUUGAGAAUGAAAAAUAGAUUUGAAAAAAAUUAUUUUUCCUAAAAAAAUCAUUAAUUUUAAAUGUUCAGUUAUGAAAAAGGGAGACUCUCUACUUUAAUAUUUCAAACCGAAAUAAAAAUCCAAAAUAAUCUAACCGAAUUUGUAGAAAUCAAACCAAACUGAUUUUAUUUUAUUUUGGUUAUGGUUAUCAUUUUUGUCAAUCUAAAAACAGAUAAACUGAAACCGAUAUAAAAUAAUCAGACCGAAACGACCGAACGCCCACCCCUAAUUAUUGGUAUCAAAGCCAAUCAAAUUCUUGGAAAUCAUGAUGAAAACAACUCGAUCCAUUGAUAACUCUCCAGCUGACAUAGGAGAAAUAAGGGAUAUACUGCAGAAAUUAUCUACAGAUGUGAGCAAUUUGGCAGGGGAAGUUACUACCUUGAAGAGGUUGGAUCAGGUGGUAAUGGAAUUAAAGGAUUAUUUGGAGAAUUUCAUAGAGAAUAGGAGAGAUAAAUUUCCAUUAUAUCAAGCCGAACCAUCGAGGUUUAGGCAAUUAGUUGAGAGAGAGCACAGAGAUCAAAGCCCUGGCAGUUAUCACAAUUCCCAUUCCCAGUUCUCGAAGUAGUCACGCAUGGAGUUUUUGAGGUUUUCAGGGGAUGAUUUACGUUCUUGGUUGUUCAAGAUUGAACAAUUUUUUUCAAUGGAAAAUGUACCUGCUUCUGAGAAAAUUACCAUAGCCACACUAUAUCUGGAAGGAGAAGCAAUUCAGUGGCAUCUAUCCUUCAUAAGGUAUCGACAGUACCUUCAACCUAUUGGAUGGAAUGAGUAUGUGAUGGCAUUGGUGGAGAGGUUUGGAUCUAACUUUGAUGAUCCUAUGGAGGAAUAGAAGAAGGUUAAGCAAGUUGGGACUAUCAAAGAGUAUCAGGAUGUGUUUGAAAGGCAUCUUACAAGGGUGAAUUUGUCAGAAAAAAUGCCAUUAGCUGCUACAUUGGGGGUUUGACACCUCAGCUUAACAUUGCUGUUAAGAUUACCAACCCUACUACCUUAUCUCAAGUUUACAGAAGUGCAAGACUGCAAGAAGCAUACUUGAAUGCUGUUAAACCACCUGUAAGUUCACAUCAGGUGUUUAAUUCAAGAAAGAUAGGAGAUCAAAAACCUUUUAAUAAUAAGCCUUUACUACUUACUCCUAACAUCACCCAAGGAAACUAUAAUAAGAAUCUGAACAGGAGAAGGUUGAGCUUGGAAGAAAUUAAUGAGAAGAGGGCAAAAGGAUUAUGUUAUUUUUGUAAUGAAAAAUGUACUAUGGGCCAUAAAUGUAAGACUACUAAGCAAUUGUACUUGUUAGAGUUAGAAGAAGAGGAUAAAACAGAAGAUGGAAUGUCUGAAACAGAGGUGGAAUUGCAUGAAGAUGGGGAGAGCAAGAGUGAGUUGUCUCAACAUAUUGAGCACAUGGAGAUUUCAAUACAUGCCUUAAAUGGUUAUUUAGGUUUUAGGACACUUAAGGUGACUGUAUAUCAUUCCAAAAAGGGGUUGCAUAUAUUGAUAGACACAGAAAGUUCUCAUAACUUCAUAGAUCCUGAUUUAGUACAACAAUUAGGUUCUUCGGUCAGAUCUACCAUUCCUCAAAUGGUUGCUGCAACAAAUGAAAGUAUGAAGCUAGAUAAAAUGAUCACUAUUACUUGGUUAUUACAAGGAGCUGAAUUUUCAGCAGAUUUUCUGCUAUUUCCUUUGGGUUCAUGUGGUGUAGUAUUAGGGGUUUAGUGGUUGUUGACCUUAGGAGAUAACCAGAUAAACUUCAGGAAUUUGACCAUGGAAUUCUUGUACAAGGGAGGGAAACAUCUGCUAAGAGGUGCUAGGAACCAGGUGCAGACUUCUGGAGCUAGUAAAUUAGCUAAAUACUCAGGUAACCAAUCUUAACUUGUAUGAUUCAAGUCAUGCCUAUGGGGAGUGAACAAAUGAAGGGUCACCCAACAUUACUGGAGGAAGAUAAAACUGAAGGUGAUCAAACUUUAUUGAAUCUGUUAUCAGAGUUUCAAGGAUUGUUUGAGGAACCUACUGGCUUACCACCUCAUAGGGGAGUAUUUGAUCAUAGAAUUGUAUUGCAGGGGGGGACUGAGCCUAUGAAUAAGAGGCCAUAUAGAUAUCCUUCUUGGAAGGAUAUUAUUGAAGGUUUGGUACAACAGAUGUUAGACCAAGGGAUCAUACAACCUAGUUGUAGUCCGUUUGCAUCCCCAGUGAUCUUAGUGGGCAAGAAAGAUGGUACCGAGAGGUUGCAAUACAAAAAAAGAGUCAAAUUGCAGGGGUUAAUUUUGCAGUUUGCGGGGGUUAAUGUAAUUGCGGGGGUUCCCAAAACCACCGGAAUACGGGCCAUCACAAACGAGUUGCGACAGUUUUUUUUCCGACCCCCAUAAUUAAUUUGCGGGGGUUAUUUUGCAGUGGUGACAACCCCCAUAAUUAAUUUGCGGCGGUUAUUGACCCCGCAAUUCUAAAUUUAAUUCUUUUAUAAUAAAUUUUUAUUUAAAAACUUGCGGGGGUUAAAACCUCCACAAUUAUUUUUUUUAAAAAAAAAUUAAUGGGACCCAUCAAUUUUCAAUAACAAAUUAUAAAUUCUAAUUUUAGCUGAAAUUUAAUUGUUCCUUUAGGCAUAACCUACAAUUCAAUAUUUAUUUAAUUCAUAUAUUUGUCACGCCCCAAAAUCCCAUCGGGCCGGACUGGCACCCGAAGCCGAGAAGGCCCGGGAGAACCCGUUCAAAUACCUGUACUUUCACUUACAUGUCACCAAAAAAUUGGACAACACUUCAUUGCAUAUAGAAAGGUUUAAUUACCUGUAUCAGCACAACACGCACAAAUAUAAAUAUAUAUAAUACUUGGCCGUCGGGGCCACCACAUAUACAAAUAUAACGUUACUAUAUAAACUUCCAUGACUUUACCCUUCCUUAUGUCUACAAAGCCUCUAGGAUAUACAUGACAUAACUAGGGUCGGGACAAACCCCCGCCCACACGUGACUCAUGUACAAUAACAAAACAUAAGGAACCGACUCGGAAAGCUCCGAAGCAAACUGGAGCUCACCAACAAUAGCUGUAUGACCUGGCUCCUACUUGUGCGGUGUAUGAGUUGAGGUACCUGUGCCUGCAGCAUGAAAUGCAGGUCCCCCGUGAGGGACGUCAGUACGAAAUAUGUACUGAGUAUGUAAAGCUGUAAAUAAUCACAUAUGAUAUAGGAGCUCAAUAGAAAUCAGAAACAAGUGAAUAAGUCGUAAUAGGAGUGGACCACACUUACUAGAACUUGUGACAACCUGUACAUUGUAUUUAUUCAAUCACUUUACCUUCGUUCUUAUCGUCUUUGUAAUCAUUACUGUACUGUACUGUGACCAUUAGGAUGCCUCCAGUACAUAUCAACUGGGAUCGACCCAUGCUAGGCUUAUGCCCCUGGGAUACCACCCAUAAACACAUGAAAUAGGGAUCGACCCAUGCUAGGCUUAUGCCCCUGGGAUACCACCCGAUAAGAGAGAACUUUCAUCACUUAGUUCAAUUAAUCUUUGAGAUUGUUAUUUCGGUCGUCACCACAUUUUUGAUACCUUGAAACAAUGAUACAUCAAUAGGAACCAAGUAAUAGACCUUCUAUACAAUAACGAUGUAAUAAGGACUCAUUGGUACAUCAACAAUAUGUUUCAGAAUCAUCAAUAUCACAACAAUGAAAUAAGAGCCUUUUGGUAUAUCAAUGAACAUUUUGACACUUUAUAGGAUGGAAACAACUUCGUUGGUAACGUAGAACAAUACAUGUUUUUGGACAACCUCGGAAUCUUACUUGAUGGAACAUUGGUGUUUUCAUGCCAAAGAACAUUGUUAGAGUAUGCUUUACAUACCUCGUUGUAGAUUCAGAUACCAAUUCAACACAACUUCCCGCCUUUACAAAUCACUUAUCUACAAUGAAAUGUUUGGCAUCUAGUAUUAGCAACCCAACACCACAAUUCUCUUCCAUAAUUCCAUACUACCAAUAUUUGCAAAACAUUCCAAAAACCAACUUGAACAAUAGGUUUAUGUGUGUAUAUGUAUAUAAUCAUCAUCUCAAUACCACAUCAUCAAUACCACAUCAUCACCCCAAAUUCCUUCACAAUUUAACAUAAUCCAACCAUGCACAAGAAUAAUCCAACAUCAUUUCCAAUCAUCUUUCAACAACAAUCAAAUAACAUACUUCUUAUGCUCACAUGCAUAUAUAUAUAUAUAUACAUAUCCAUAUAAAUAACACCAACAUAAUUUACAUCCUUACCAAAAAAAAUGGCCCUUUUGAUUUCGAAGUCCUGUUGGCACAAAUAAGGGGUGCUUCUCGAAGCCCUUGAGACGGUGAACACAACUACGGAAUCAAUUUGGAUUUUCUACGGUUGAAUCACAAGAUAAUUGGAGUUGAACUUAGGCUAGGGUUUCUUAUUCUUCAAUGAUUUGGAUGAUAAAUGGUGGAUAUAAGGCUAAGUAUAUGUAUAUAAUGACCAAUUUUCGUCCAUGAGGUGAUGGAAAAUGACCAUAUUGCCCUUAAAAAUUUAAGUAAAUCCGAAUCUGUCCAUGGUGGACUGUUUUGAUAGGCUAAAGUAAAUCGGCCAUAACUCUUUGCUCCGAUAUCGGAUUUGGGUGAAAUUGGUAUCGUUAGAAAGAUAAUUCAAAGGUAUUUCAUUUAAUAUAAAUUAAUCCACCCAGUUCGUCCUGUACAAGUAGUUAUGAUCGUUUGAAGUUGACCCUAAAAAUCUGUUUUGAGAGGCUGAAGUAAAACGAGUAUAACUCCUUACUCAGAUGUUGGAUUUGGAUGAAACCAAUUUCAUUGGAAAGAAGACUCAAAGAUCUUUCUUUUGAUAUAUGGUAGCUCAACCAGUUCAUUAUAUUGAGGGAGUUAUGAUCGUUCAAAGUUGACCCAAAAAACUGGCAGGCCUCAGUAGUUUUCCUGCACAUUUACUGUUCACAUCCCGGCCACCGUUUUAAAGUUUCGAACGAGCUCGCUUAUAUCCGAAACUUAUCCGUUUUUGGAAAUCUUUAUAUCGUUGGAAAGCUUAUUCAAUAACCUUCGUAUGGAACCAUCGACGGGAAAAUUCCGAUAUAAAUAAAGUCGAUUCCUAUACACCUAUAAUCAAACUAUACACUUGAAACCAUCUCAAAAUAAUCAAUACUCAUACUUAAACUCCAAACUACACACUUGAAACCAUCUCAAAAUAAUCAAUACUCAUACUUAAACUCAUAUAUACCUAACUUAGGAUCAAUACAUAUACUCCAACACAUAUAACAAUGACUAAUGCACGUAAUUAAGUACGGGGUGUUACAAUAUCAUUAACACAAUAUUAUAAUUCACAAGCAUCUCAAAAAUACAUUGAACAUUAAACUUCAAAAAUUAAAAUUUCAACAUUAGUAUCUUCAAACUUCAAAUUUUCAACAUUAACUAGUAUCUUUAAAUUUCAAAAUCAAAUUUAAACACAAAACCUUCAAUAUUCUAAGAUUCGCUCCAACCACACAAUUACAUCAUCAUAAUUGAAUAUUCAAGACAAUUUACAACAAAAUCAAUGACUGUCAGUAAGAUCACUAUCAUCGCGUGGUCUUCUAGCAUCCAUGGGCGAAAUGAGUCCACUAGCCACAUCAGUUGGCUACAUAAAAAUGCAAAGUAUAAAACCAAUCAAAUAAACUUUCAGUCCUUAUUAUAUUUAUGUCUACGUACAUCUAAAAAACAUCAUGAUAAAUAUAAAUAGAUCAAUCACAAGUUCACAAUUUCAAGUAACUACACUUAAUCAUUUUCAAGUCAUUACACUUAAUAAUUUUUCAAUAACUUAUUCACUAAUACACAUUUCAAGUCACAACACUCAAACCAUUUUCAAAUAGCUAAUUGAUAUUUCAAGUCACUAUACUUAACCAUUUCGAAGUAACUACACUUAAUUAUUUUCAAGCCACUAAUACACAUUUCAAAUCACUACACUUAACCAUUUUUAAAUAACUAGUAAACAUUUCAAGUCACUACCCUUAACCAUUUUCAAAUAACUAAUUCACAUUGCAAGUCACUACACUUAACCAUUUUCAAAACACUACACUCAACCAUUUUUAACUCUCUAGCUCACAUUUCAAAUGACUAAACCUAACCCUUGUCAAGUCAUGAAUUCAGAUUUCAAGUGCCAACACUAAAUCAAUUUCAAGUCAUGAAUUCACAUUAGUGAUUACGCUUUACUAAUUUCAAAACACAAGUUCAUCUUUCAAGUUGCUAAUUCACUUCUCAAGUGACUACACUUGAUCAUUUUGAAGUCACUAGUACACAUUUCAAGUCACUAGUCACCUUUUCCUAUUUUUGUUUUGAUUUUCUCACUCUUUAAGAAUUUGAUAACAAUCAGAAACAAAAAUUUAUGUUUUCGAUUCUAAAUUGUAGGUUACUUUCCACUAUAAUCCUUUUAGUUAUUAUUAAAUUACUCUCCUAAAAAAUGUGAAGUAUUUAAGAACCUCAUUUCAAGAAAUUUCUUGUGUCUCUUGAAAAAUGAACAAUUCAUUUAUUUUGAAACGGAGAAAGUACAUAUUUUGGGAUGACUUAUAAUUAGGGAUAAAACUUUCGAUAUGUAUCAUAAUUAGAGAUCAAACCUCCUAUAUUUUCGUUGUUUUCCCUUACAAAAACCAAAUGUCUAUGAAAAGUAUUCCUCCCAAAAUAACUUUAAUAUAGCUGUGUAAGUAUUGAACUAGAGAAAAUUGCUCAAGUGGAACAUCUACGGGAUAAUGUUCCCAUUGGUCUUAAUGAUUAUUAUUAUUAUAACUAUUAUUAUUAUUAUAUUCAUCACAUUUAGUUGUUAAUUAAUCUUUUCUUUCCUGUUUAGUCAUGGUCAGAUGACUUUGUCAGAGAUAUGUGACUGGACUUUCAUUUCCAUUUAUAAUAUUAAUUAAUUAUGCUCAAUCAUUGAUUCUCUAUGGAUGAAGACGACUUUGAAUUAGUAUUUUUUGUAAUUUUGGACCAUCAUUUAUAUGACUAUUUAUUCAUAGAUUUAUGUUAAUAAUAGUUACGUUGUAGCUUAAGAGAAUUAACAAACCAUCAACCCCACAUACAUCAUGAUUCUUUUAUCGAAUUAAGUGAUUAUUUGUUUAUAUAUGAUAUUCUUUUUUUUUAUUUUUUAUGUCUACCAUCUACCUAGACUUCACAUUAAGAAUUUGAUAACAAUCAGAAACAAAAAUUUUUGUCCAGAAACUAAUACCUCGUCCUUCUCCGCAACACUAUUAAAACACACUACAAGGUAUCCAUCAAGGUGGAAGAACACCUUGGACUUCUGAAAAACUACCAUUGACUAGCGAUAAACCUUUCAAUAUCUCGUAUAAAAGUGGUAUUGCCCACAACAUACAUUAUGAUGGCCUUCAUCCAUACAGCAUAUCAGAUUCCACAUCUACAUCAUAUAACUAAACUACAACCUGUCCCUCCUACAUCAGAGGCAGAAUGUACUUGAGACUUAUACCCUUGGCUGCUAACUUGUUUGCAUCAAACUACCCAACCCAAGCUUAAUACUAAGAACGACAAUAAAUAGCAAAGACCAUAGCUUAAUACUAAAAAUGACAACAAAUAGGACUGAUUAUAUGGAGCAACAGUGUAGUGCUGGUAAGAAAGGAUACCUAGCAAACAGAGAGGGCAGUUGCUCGUGCCCGAUCCAGGGGAGAUGUAUAGAUGAAAUUGAAAUGAAUCCCUUAGGAAUUUGCCCGAUCCAGUGGCUGGUGAUGGAGGUGAGGUCGGCGGCCAUGGCUGGUGCAGCGGCGGUGCUGGCAAGGGAAGGGCGACAGAGAAGGCGCUAACGGAGGAGAGGGACGACCGGCGAUGAAAAAGGCAGCGUUGAUGAUUUUGUCAUAGGGUUUUUGAGAGAGGAGAGAGAUAGAGAGAGAAAGAGGAGAAAUGAGAGAGGGGGUGGAGGCUAUUGUGAAGAGAUUAGGGUUUGAGGGUUGAUUUUUGUCUUUAAAAGGAAAGAGAAAGGCUUUUGAUCUCAGUCGUUGAAUCAAUUUUGAUCAACGACUGAGAUUUAAUAGUUUAAGAAUUGGGUUAGAAUUGAGAAUAAAAAAUAGAUUGAGUUUGAUUUAGGCUAUAAUUGUAAUAAAGUAAAUAUUAGGCUAAAAUCGUAAGAAAUUGUGAAUAAAUUAGGUUAAAAGGGGAAUAAAUUAGGCAAAGUGAUCUUAAUUUAGGUUGUUAUUUAAAUAGUAGUAGGAAUAAAAAUAAUAAUAAAUAAUAUAUAAUAACAAUAAACCAUAAAUAAUUAUAAGUAAUAAAUAAUAAUAAUAAUAAAUAAUAAUAAGAGUUAUAUAUAUGAUAACAGUAAAUAACAAUAACUUUAUCGUUACAUGCUUAAUAUAAAAAAUAAGCUACAAACAUGGCGUUACAUUCUUGCAAAUCCCCCUUUUUUAACUCGCCCAAAAAAUAAAGAAAUUAUAUGGUUGCAAAUCCUCUUUUUUUAAUCACUGCGUAAUUUUUUGUGGUUGACGGUAGCCAGGGUGAUGCUUCGUCUCCCAGUUCAACUUCGAAGCAACUCUUUCAUGACAAGUAAAAUAUUCCUCGAGUUUCUCGACAAGCUCUGUUGCUGUUGGCACAGAUAAGAUGAUUUGGCGAGCAUUGGGACUGAUGAAGCCUUCUUCCACAACUUUGUCAAUAAAUGACAAUAAUGAAUUGUAAUAUCCAUCCACAUCAGCAAUCCUACUGGCUUAUCGUGGAUGCCAAGUUGUGACCAACUAAUUACUUCAAGUAGCUCAUCAAGUGUGCCAUAACCACCCGGUAAAGAAAUAAAAGUAUCAGAGUGCCUAGCCAUUUUUGCUUUUCUUUGAUGCAUAUCUGUUGGGCUCCCAACGAUCAUAUAUCUGUUGGGCCCAACGGCUAUUUUUUAAUUAAAUUCGAUUUAAAAAAAAUUCUAUAAAUAUUUUUUAAAUAUAUAUUUUUUAAAAAAUCUACCACAAAUGGUCGCUUUUUUAAAAAUAAAUUAAAAAAAUUAAAAUAUAAAAGCGACAAAUAAUUUUUGGUUAAUUUCGAUUGAGUCCAAUUAAACUCAAUUGAGUAUAAAUGACUAGAAUUUAAAUAAAUUCUUUGUAUUCUACAAAUAAUUUUUGGUUAAUUAAUUUUUGAAUGUGUAUUAUUUAUUUUUAACAAAAGUGACACUGUCCGUCGCUUUUUGUAAAAAUACAGAAAAAUAAAAAUAAUUUAAAAUUGCGAUGAAUAGAGGGGGUUUCAAUCCCCGCAAAUAUAUUCGAUGAAUAUCGGGGGUUUUGGUUAAAACCCCCGGCAAAUUUAUAAAUUUUAGCGGCAAGUUUUUAACCCCCGCAAUUCAUAUAAUUUUACGGGGGUUAAUAUAACCCCCGCAAAAUUAUAAAUUUUAGCGGCGAAAUUUUAACCCCCGUAAUUCAUAUAAUUUUACGGNNNNNNNNNNNNNNNNNNCCAUUUUUUGUAGUGUUGUGUGUUGAGUGUUGACUAUAGGGACUUAAAUAAGUUUACUGUGAAGAACAAGUUUCCUCUACCUAUUAUUGAAGAUUUAUUGGAUAAGUUAGGAGGAUCCAAAAUCUUUUCAAAGAUUGACUUAAGAUCUGGUUAUCACCAAUUAAGAAUGGCUGCAAAGGAUGUGCCUAAACUGCUUUUAGAACCCAUUCUGGUCAUUUUGAAUACCUAGUAAUGCCUUUUGGCUUAUGUAAUGCACCUGCUACUUUUCAAAGAUUAAUGAACUCUGUAUUUCAGCAAGUUCUCAGGAGGUAUGUGUUAGUUUUCUUUGAUAAUAUUUUGAUUUAUAGUAGUACUAUUGAAGAACAUGUAAGGUAUUUUAGGUCUGUUUUUGAGGAAAUGAUCAGGCAUCAACUAUUUGCUAAAAGGAGCAAGUAUUUCUUUGGGGUUUAGAAAAUUGAAUAUCUUGGACACUUUAUAUCAGCAGAAGGUGUUUCAACAGAUGCUCAGAAAAUAGCAGCUGUGAGAAAGUGGCCCAUUCCAACUACUCUUAAGCAACUAAGAGGAUUCUUGGGACUGUCUAAUUACUAAAGGAGGUUCAUACAAGGUUUUGAUGUGAUCUGCAGGCCUUUAAAUGACUUAACAAAGAAUAACAAUUUUAAAUGGUCAACUGCAGCUCAAGAUGCUUUGAAAAGUUGAAAGAAGCUUUGACACAAGCUCCCAUGCUUGCUUUACCUGAUGUCAACAAAAUAUUUAUGGUGGAGACUGAUGCCAGUGGAUUUGGAGCAAAAGUUAGCUUUCAUUAGCAAGGCAUUGUCAUUAAGGCAUGCUACAUUAUUAGUGUAUGACAAGGAGUUAUUGACUGUUGUUCAAGUUGCCACUAAAUAGUCUCAAUACUUGUUAUGCCAAAGGUUUAUAAUAAGGACUGAUCAGAAGGCUUUAAAGUUCCUUAUGGAUCAAAAGUUACAUACUAAUUCACAACUCUUAUGGUUGACAAAGCUGAUUCCAUUUGAUUACUCUAUAGAGUAUAAAAAAGGAACUGACAAUAAGGUGGUUGAUGCCUUGUCAAGAGUUAAUGGAGCAGAAUUAUUAGCCUUGUUCGUUUCUUCUAUAGAUACUGAUCUAUUUCAAGCUAUUGUGGAUAGUUGGACUAUGGAUCUAGAACUUUAACAAAUUAUUGCAGAUUUGCAGACUAAUCCUACAGUUCACAAAUAAUUAACUUGGAGUCAAGGUCCGCUGAGAAGGAAAUGGAGAUUGGUGGUUGGAAAGGUUCAAGAAUUGAGAAGGGAUAUUAUGACAUUGUGGCAUGCAAGCCCCCAAGAAGGUCAUUUUGGGGUAGAGGCUACAUUAAGAAGGUUGCUCAGCCUCUUUUACUAGAAGAACAUGAGAGGGGAGGUGAAGAAAUUCAUUCAAAAUUGUGAUGUUUGUCAAAGGAAUAAGUUUGAUUUGGCUGCAUACCCUGGACUUUUACAGCCUUUACCCAUACCUGAUGUGGUAUGGUCACAAAUUAGCAUGGAUUUCAUUAAUGCAUUACCAAAAUCAAAUGGUUAUGAGGUGAUUCUAGUGGUGGUGUACAGACUUAGCAACUAUGGGCAUUUUCUUCCACUUAAACAUCUUUAUACAAUCCAAACUGUUGCUAAGUUUUUCUUGGAUAAUAUUGUUAAGCUGCAUAGAUUCCCUGAUGUUAUUACUAGUGAUAGGUAUGCUGUUUUCAUCAGCUCCUUCUGGCAGGAGCUAUUCACUCUACAAGGUGUUAAGUUGCAUACUUCAUCAACAUAUCACCCUCAGUCUGAUGGCCAAACUGAGGUUUUAAACAGAUGCUUAGAGACUUAUUUGAGGUGCUACUAUAAUGAGGAUGCUUCUAACUGGUUUUCUUGUCUUCCUAUGCUUGAGUAUUGGUACAAUACCUCCCAUCACCCAGCUAUUCAUACAACACCAUAUGAGGUAUUGUAUAAAAGGCCACCUCCACUACAUUUACCAUAUCAUGCUGGAGAAUCAGCUUCAGCUGAGGUUGAUAACACCCUGCUGAAUAGAAACUCAAGCUGUAGUUGCUUAAGCAUCAUCUCACUAGAGCUCAACUAAGGAUGGAGCAACUGACUGAUACUCAUAAAACUGACAGGAUCUUUGAAGUUGGUGACUGGGUUUACUUGCACCCUUACAAGCAGGUUACUAUCACUAAUCAUGUUACUCACAAGCUGGCAGCCAAGUUUUAUGGACCUUUUCAGAUCAUUAAGAGAGUUGGACCUAUUGCUUACACUCUCUUACUACCUGUUUUUGUCAAGAUACACCCCACUAUUCAUAUUUCCUUAUUAAAGAAGCGUUAUGAGUUGCCUUCUCAAAUCUCUUAUCCUCCUAUUAUGGACUUAGCGAAUCCCCAUUGCCCUGAACCAGAGCUGGUUUUGCAGAGAAGAAUGAUUAAAAGAGGGAAUAAGGUUGUUGCACAGGUGUUGAUCAACUGGGCUGGACUUUCUGCUGAUGUUGCAACUUAGGAAUUUGCUAGUGUUCUCAAGACUAGGUUUCUUUUGUUUGAUCCUUGAGGUCAAGGAUCUUCUUUAUGGGGGAGUACUGAUACACAAUAUUAAUAAGUAGGGAAAUAGUAAUAAGUUCCAGAAGUUAGUUAACACUGGAAAGCUACAGUGUAGUUAGUUACUCAGCAACUAAAGUUAGUUAAGUAGUUAUGACUAACUCAAGUAGCUUAGUCAAUGGAUAGUGAAUCAUGAGCUCUAUAUUAACAUAUAGUUCAUUUAUUUUCAUACAGAUAUACAAACAUUAAUUUUUCUUUCUCAAAAUCUCUCUCUCUAUUUUCUCAAUUCUCAUUCUCAUUAACUAUUUUCUCGAGUUAGUUACUCCUGAAGCAAUAAUUUCGAUCCUCGAGUUCAUUCGAACUCCUGCAAUCGAGUAAAAGUUAGUAUCAUUUGUUCAUCCGUCAGAUACUCCAAGCCCAGUUCUUGUACCAACUCGACUGAUAGAUCAAAGAAUAUGGUCUUCAGCGUAGAUCAAUGACAAUUGUUGUGCAGACGCAGAAUUCCUUUCAGGACAGAUACUGACAAGAAGGGUCAAUGCAGUGCUUAAUUGCAUGAAGAUUAGGAGACUUGUAAUGCAAUUGUUCUAUGUUGGGUUAUCAAUAUAGUAUCAUCGAAACCUCCCAGUGGGAUUGCGUACUACAUUAAAUGCGCAUUUGGUGUGGGAGGAUCUCAAGGAGCAUUUUGAUAAGGUAAUCGUGUUCGUGUUUUGCAAUUGCAUUGGGAAAUUACUACGAUUUUGCAAGCUACUGACUCUGUGACUCUGCACUUUUCUGAGCUGAGAGAGCUUUGGGUUGAGUAUGAUGCUCUUGUGUUCUCACUGGGCGGCGGUUGCAUUGUGCGAAUUCUAACUACCACAUUUAACAAUUGCAGAGGCAACAAUUAAUUUUUCAUGAGCAAACUAAGCACACAAAAAUAGAUUAUCACUUUGCUCGAGUCAAGAUAAAACAAGGCAAAAAUUCUCAUCAUGUUGGAUCCAAAAAUCAACAUGCAAACUAACUUACAAAGGGACUUGGAAAGAGUCGGCAUGUGGUUACCUUUUACUCGCUAAGAAGUUUCUUAGCCUCAUUACUAGCCAAUUCCAAGGCAACUAACUCUAUUUAAUUGAUUUCUAUGUUAUGACCACCCCCAUUAUAAUCAUAUCAUAUCAUCAUAUAUACUAUAUCAAAAGUGUGAAGCAACUUAAAAAUAUUAUUUAAAUUUUUUAUUCCUUGUUAAAAGUAUUUGCAAUACACAAAAUCAUAUUUUUAUUAUUUUUUCAAGUUUUAAAAACUGAUUAAAUUUAAUUAUUAAACCUUUUCUUACUUGAUUAUGUGCCUAAAGUUUAGGAGGUUAAAACAAAAUAAAUUUCUCAACUGUAAUAAAUCUUUAAAGAAGUCAAUUAAUGGACAUUUUUGCCGUACGUUCUUUAGAAGUAGUGCUUUUGUUUAAAUCCAAGUUGAUUAAAAAUUUCACCUUAAUAAAUUCAAGUAAGUGGUAGUAUAAAUUCUGCCGACGUUGAUUUAAAAUAUUAUUUUGGAUAAGAAUUUGGUCAAAACUAAUUUUAUUUGCAACUUCUUUAAUAUUCAAGGAGUUCUACGAUAUAUGAUAGUUUUUAAAAAUUACAGAAUUCUAAAUUAUAUGGCAAAAACUAUUGGUACAAUUAAUAUUUAAGAAGUCCUAUAAUAUGAGGUAAGAGGAGGAAAAACUCAUAUUUCAUGUAAACCUAUUGAUGUUGUAGCCAGCGACUAUAUAUGAUUUCUAUGGUGUUUGUCUUUGAUAAUCUAUAUAUCACAUGCACGUAACUAUAGCCACAAUUUAAGUUUAUCCUUUAAUUUGUUGCAGUACAUUGUAUUGACAGUUACUAGCUUAUAUGUACUUUUUUUUUAAAUCUCUAUAGCUUCUUGCUAUUUAAUUAUGUAAUCAACGCUCUAUGCAUAGUUUUACAUGACAGCUUUUAAAUUUGUCGAUGAAGAUGUAUAUUUUGCGUUUAAUUUCUUUUAUUCAUACUUAUUUCAUAUUUGAUGUGUCUGAAUUGUUGAAAAAUAUUACUUUCUCUAUUUCAAUUUGUUUGGCUUGAUUUGGAGUUCAGGGAUUAAUUAACUAAUGUUUGAGGUAAAUUUGAACGUAGAAUCUUUUACAUUGUUGAAUUAAAAUUUACAUAUUUUAAAAACUAUAUAAAGAAUUAAUACUAAAAAUCAUAAUAGUUAACACUUUAGAAUAUUUAAAAGCAUUUAAAAAUUGUUGACAAAGAAAAUAUUUUAUAACAAGUUAAAAGUAGAGGUGUAAUAGAUUUUGAUAUAAAAAGUAGGAUUUGCUUUUUUUUUUUUUUUUUUCUAAGUGAUUAUUGUUACUUUAUAUCUAGAGGAGCAUCUUAUGUUAAAGUUUUUAAACGUAGUGUCGUGUGAUUUGUUUUCAGGUUGUUGGCAUCAGUUUUCCACCAGUUCAGGUAGUGUACCUCAUUAUCGGAACUGUUAUCGGGGCGAAAUUGCAAGAUUAGUAAAUCAGUUCUUAAAAAAAAAUAGAAAAUCACAAUACAUAUGCUUGUGAUUGAAUCUCGAAAGAUAUGCCUCCAACUAUUGGUGACAUUUAAAGAAUGACACAAGAUAAUAUUUUAACAAAUCAAUAUGACAAAGUUUAUUAUGAAGGAACACAUUAACAAGAAUGAAUAUCCAAUUUUACACUAAUUGAUUGUAAAAAAAUAUGUUAUCAUGACUCAUACAAAAGCUAUCAUCACAAUAGUCUUUGUAAUCUUUACUACUAAUGGAUGGAAGUGUUAGAAGACUCCCCUUACUGGAAGGCGUACUAAUAGCAAAUAAAUAGUAUAAGUUCAAAGAAAUUGCAAAAGAAAGAGAAUAUAUUAAAAUAAAAUGACAACAUUUUAGAAUGCUUACGUUGACAGUUAGAUCUUUUUGAAAAGUCAUAUUUGUUGUUUAACUAUAAAAUUUUUCUGCCUCUAAUUGCAUUUUUUUUAGUACUGAUGCCAAGUUAGACUUAUGAACAUACAAUUAUCCAAUGACAAUUGUUGAUUAUCUGAAUAUUUAUGUGCUAUUAUUAACGUGCAACGCACGUUCGUAUAGACUAGUAACUCAUAAUCACUAGUGAAUUUUAAGAUUCACAUUGCAUCAUUAUACACUGAUGGAUAUUAAGCAUUUUAAUAUUUAGCUUAUAAUAUUAAUUUACCUCGAUCAUAUUAAUUUUUUCAAUAAAGUAUAAUGGUUGAUGUAAGACAGUAAGACAUAUUAAGCACCUUUUUAAGUGCUUUAAGUUGCUUUCUUGACAUUUAGUUCAUAUGCCUUUAAGUGGCAGAACGUUUGCCUCAUUUACAUAAAGCCUUAACUCUAAUUGAGUUAAUGGCAAUGGACAUGCAUGCUUCUUUUUCAUAUAAUUCAUUUGACUCUUGGUUAUGGUGGCUGAAUUUGGCUAUCAUUUUUCUUGAAAUUCUUGUAACUUCUCACUCUUUAUUCCUCAAUUAUUCUACUUUUUAUGUGUUGUAACUCUUAUAACCAUUUUGUAACUUCUACUCUAUUUAUCUUCCCAUUUAUUCUUCGUAUUCAUUACAUGGAAGAUUUCUUUACUUAUAAAUAGAGGUGGUCUUGUAUGGUUUUUAAAAAUAUAAAAUAAUAUAGAAUUCACAAAAGAUAGUAAAAAAGAGAGUCCAUUAGUUGAAGGGAGGUGUUCUUUUUGUGGAGCUUUGAACUCAACUCUUGUCUAGAGUUGUUGAGUUGUUCUUUGUGAAAAGGCUAUUAUAUCCCGGAGGGGACAAGUCAAGAAUAUUACUGCUGGACCGGUGAAAAUAUUUGCUGUAGUGAGCUUGAAUCUCCUUAAAGAGAGCGAGAUAUCCGUGCCUUUGCUGUAGUGGGCUUGAAUCUCCUUAAAGAGAUCGAGAUAUCCGCGCCUCAACCGAAGAAGAAGAAGAAGAUAGUUUUUUAUUUUCUUCACUUGUAAUUUUCAGUUAAAAUUUUUGUUGUAUUUCACCAACAAUUUUAAGGAGAUUCAAUUGCAACAACUGAAAAAUCCGCGGAUGUCAAGAUGAGAGAUCUUAACAAGCCAUUUCGGUUUAAUGGUACUCACUUCAAGAGGUGGAAGGGUAAAGUGCGUUUUUACUUAAGUUUUCUCAAUGUUUCUUAUGCGUUAACUGAGAAUAACCCCAAAAAAGUAGAUAACUCUUCCAUGACAGAUGAUGAACUUAUUUCUCUACAAGAGAAAGUUGAAAAAUAUGAUGGUGACUCCUACAAGUGUCGGUACUUUUUACUUAAUUAUAUAUCUGAUAAUUUUUAUGAUUAUUAGAAUAGAACUUACUCUAGUGCAAAGAAAAUUUGAAAAGCCAUGUAGAGCAAGUAUGACACUGAGGAGGAGGGAGAAAAAAAUAUUCGGCUAGCAAAUUUUUUCAUUUUCAAAUGAUGGACAAUAAAUCAGUGGUAGACCAAGCUCAAGACUUGAUAAUGAUUGUUGGCGAGCUCAGGUCUGAGAAAGUCAAAGUUGGAGAAAACCUUAUUGUUUGUGGCAUAAUUGAUAAACUUCCACCUUCGUGGAAGGAAUUUCAAAAAAACUAUGCGAUACAGCAAAAGAAAAUUUCUCUUGAAACUUUGAUAAUGAGAAUCUGCAUGGAAGAAGAGGCAAGGGGCCAAGAUGCACUUUUGCUAACAAAAGAGAACAACAUCAUACCGAAGGUAAAUUUAACUUCUUCAAAUAAUGCUACCACUGAAACUAACAAAAAUAUUACUUUGAAGUCUAAGAAGAAACAAUUCAAGAAAAAUGAUGAUAGACAUCCCAAGGGCAAUACUGGUGGAAACAACGAAGCAAAAAGUCAACAUGUACAAGAAAAAGGACCGUGCUUAUCUGUGGCAAGAGUGAGCAUAUAACUCGAUUUUGUAAAUUUUUAAAACGUGGGCCUACACCUCAAGCAAACGUUAUCAAAGAAUCAUUUGUGACGGUGAUAACAAAUAUAAACAUGGUGGAGAAUGUUGAUGAUGGUGGGCUGACUCUGGUGCAAACCGUCAUGUCUAUUAUGACAAUGACUGGUUUAAAAAAUAUACUCCUUUUGAGGAGCCCAAAACCAUCAUGCUUGGAUAUUGUCACAUAACUCAAGUGCUUGAAAUGAGAGAUGUCGAGCUGACGUUUACUUCUGGAAGUGUAUUGAUUUUAAAAAAUAUACUUCAUACUCCUUCCAUGAGAAAAAAAUUAAUGUCUAGUUUUCUUCUUAAUAAAGCAGGCUUCAAACAAAUUAUUGAAUCUGACCAAUAUGUAAUUGUGAAAAAUAAUAUUUUUAUGGGAAAGGGGUAUGCAUGUGAUGGUAUGUUCAAGUUGAAUGUUGAAAUGAAUAAAACAUCUAUUUCUGUUUAUAUGAUUUCUUCUACUAAUUUUUGACAUGCUCGUUUGUGUCACAUAAAUGAUCGUUAUAUGGAAAUCAUGAGUAGUUUAGAAAUAAUUUCAGUGAUCAAAAGAAAUUUUGAAAAAUGUGAGGCUUGAAGUAAAGCCAAAAUCACAAAAAGCCUCAUUUUCAAGUUGAAAAAUAAUAAUUUAUUAGAAUUAGUUCAUACUGAUAUUUGUGAACUUGGAGAAAUUUUAACUCGUGGAGAAAAUAAAUAUUUCAUCACUUUCAUUGAUGAUUUUUCUAAGUUUACAUAUGUUUACUUGAUGAAAAAUAAAAGUGAUGCUUUUGAGAACUUUAAAACUUUUCUCCAUGAAGUUGAAAAUCAGUUUGGUAGAAAAAUAAAAAGAAUAAGAAGUGAUAGAGGUCGUAAAUAUGAGAUACAUGAGUUAAAUUCUAUUGUUAGAUCAUUGGUUAUAAUUCAUGAAACUACUCUUAUUCGCCUGCACCUAACGGUGUAGUGGAAAAGAAAAAUAGACCUUCGAUCGAGUUAAUUAAUGUCAUGUUAAUUAAGUCUAGUGCACCUUUAAGUUUUCAGGGUGAAGCUCUUUUGACUGCUUGCUAUGUGUUGAAUCGUGUGCCUCAUAAAAAGAUCAAACUAACACUUUUUGAGUUGUGAAAAGGUCAUAAGUCAAAUUUGGGAUAUAUAAGAGUUUGAGGCUGCUUAGCCUAUGUAAGGUUAAUGGAUCCUAAAAUCUCUAAGUUGGGUAAAAGGUUACUACUUAUGAUUUUCUUGGUUAUACUUCAAAUAGUACAACCUAUAAAUUUUCUAAUCUUGAAGAUAGUAUGAUAAUAGAAUCUGGUGAUACUAUUUUUCAUGAAAAUAAAUUCUCUUUUGAUUCUAAAAAUAGUGGGGGUCUAAGGACUAAAGAAAUUUUUUUGUCACUACCUAGUUCUUUUCUUUUUACUUUAAAAAAUAAAGAAAAUGAUCGUUUUGAGUUAAGAAGUAAACGAGCUGGAGUAGAAAAAAAUUUUGGUCCUAAUUAUUAUAUUUUUAACGUUAGAGAUGACCCUCUCACUUUGAAGAAGUUUUGUCUUCUCAUGAUGUUAUUUUUUAGAAAGAGGCCGUAAAUGAUGAAAUGAAAUCACUAAUUUUCAAUAAAACUUGGAAGCUAGUUGAUUUACCUUUGGGUUGUAAAACAAUUGAAUUAAAUGGGUCUUACGUAAAAAGUUAAAACCAGAUGGAUCUUUUGAUAAAUACAAAGCCAGGCUAGUGGCUAAAGGUUUUAAACAACUACAAGGCCUAAAAUUUUUUGAUACUUUUUCUCCGGUAACUAGAAUUACAUCCAUUAGACUUUUAGUUGCUAUUGCGAUAAUUUUUUAUUUAUAAAUUUAUCAAAUAUAUGUAAAAACUAUUUUUUUAAAUGGAGACCUAAAUAAAGAGAUUUAAAUGGAACAACCCAAAUAUUUUAUUGAAGCUGGCCAAGAAAGUAAAGUGUGUAAACUUACUAAAUUCCUAUGUGGCUUGAAACAGGCACCAAACCAAUGACAUAAAAUUUUUGAUUCUUGCAUGAUUGAUAAUGACUUUAAAACAAAUGAGUGUGAUAAGUGCAUAAUAUAUCAUAAGUCUUGAAAUAAUUUGCAUGUUAUUAUUUGCCUAUAUGUUGAUGAUUUAUUGAUCUUUGGCUCUAACAUGAAUGUUAUUGGAGAGACUAAAAACAUUCUUAGAAGUCAUUUUGAUACGAAAGAUGUUGGUGAUACAAAUUUUAUUCUAGGAAUAAAAAUUACUAAAACAUGUGAUGAAAUUUUCCUUGACCGACAUAUUAUGUUGAGAAAAUUUUGAAAAAAAUAGAAUUUCCUUGAUUGCAAGCAUGUUGUAACUCUAUUUGAUUCUAGUGUUCACUUGUUUCCUGUUGAAAGUGAAAAUGAUAUAGUAAAUCAAACAUAAUAUUCUAGCAUAAUUGGAAUUUUGAGAUAUGUGAUUGAUUGCGCUUGGCCUGAUAUUGCAUAUGCAGUAGGAGCACUUAGCAGGUUUACUAGCAAACCAGGUAAUGAACAUUAGCAUGCUAUAAAUAAAGUAAUGAGAUAUUUAACUAGAAUGAAAACUUGUGGUUUGUUCUAUAAAAAAUAUCCUAUUGUACAUGAAGUCUUUUGUGAUGCGGAUUGAAACACUUUAUCAGGUGAUUCAUUAUCUAUUAUCGGUUAUGUAUUUACUUUGGGUGGUGGUGCUAUUUUUUGGAAGUCUAAAAAGCAAACCAUUAUUGCUAACUCUACCAUGGAGGUUGAACUAGUUGCUUUAGUUUCAACUAGUGAGGAAUUGAAUUGGUUAAGAGUUUUGUUAUUUUAAAUACCUUAUUUUGAAAAAUCAAUUCCUCCUUUACUAAUUCAUUGUGAUAGCACCGCUGCAAUUGAUAGAGUUCAAAACCGUUAUUACAACGGUAAAUCUAGACUUAUAAGGAGAAAACACAGUAACGUGAGAUCAUAUUUGACAAAUGGUACUAGUAAUGUUGAUUAUAUCCAAUCUUGUGAUAAUCUUACAAAUUCAUUGACUAAGGUCUUAGCAAGAGAAAAGGUUUGGAGCACACCGAGGGAGAUGGGAUUGGAGCCUAUUGAAUCUUGAGUCAUAUGUGAGAAAACCCAACUUGAAGACUAGAGAUCCUCUAAUCAGGUUCAGUGGAAAAAAUAAAUCACAUGAUGACUUGUUGUGAAAAAUGCAUUAUUUUUUAUCCUUCCCUAUGGUGUGACUGCAUUCACCUAUAAUGAUUGUGAGGUUAAGUUUAAAAAACUCUUAAUGAAAAUUUGUAGCUUGUAUGAGUGGGGUGCUAAAUUACAGGAGCACUCUCACUCUCGACGAAUUUCACCUAUGUGAGUGUGGAGGUAGGCCGAUUCCUAUGAAAAUUAGGCUCAUUUUCAAAAGACACUUCUUAAAACUGGGAUAGCACAAGACCAUAAUGUGUUGGCUAUAAAAUUUAUGUCAACACCUUGACUAUUAUGUGUAAGCAGUAACUUUUAUUUCCCUCAAACAUUCAUAAUUCAAGUCUGAGAUCACUAUGACUCUGGAGUAAAAAUUAUUGUUUUACUAAGUGGAGGUUUAAUGCAGAGCACACCUUCAUUAUGCAUGAUAGUCUUCCUUCAACUAGUAAACUCUCUUGUUAAUAUUAAAAUGAGUGGGAGAUUGAUGGAUAUUGAAUAUUUUAAUAUUUAGCUUAUAAUAUUAAUUUGCCUCGAUCAUAUUAAUUUUUUCAAUAAAGUAUAAUGGCUGAUGUAUGACAGUAAGAAAUAUUAAGCACUUUUAAGUGCUUUAAGUUACUCUCUUGGCAUUUAGUUCAUAUGCCUUUUAAGUGGUAGAACAUUUAUCUAUUUACGUAAAGUCUUAACUAUAAUCGAGUUAAUAGAAAUGGACAUGCAUGAUUCUUUCUCAUAUAAUGCAUUUGACUCUUGGUUAUGGUGGAUGAAUUUGGCCAUCAUUUUUUUGAAAUUCAUGUAACUUCCCACUCUUUAUUCCUCUAUUAUUCUACUCUUUAUAUGUUGUAACUCUUGUAACUCUUGUAACCACUGUAAUCUUUAUUUUAUUUUUCUUCUCAUUUAUUAUUCCUACUCAUUGCAUGGAAUAUUUCUUCACUUAUAGAUAGAGGUGGUCUUGCAUGAUUUUUAAAAAUGUAAGAUAAUUUAGAAUUCACAAAAGAUAGUAAAAAAAGAGUUCAUUAGUUGAAAGGGAAGUGUUCUUUUUGAAGAACUUUGAACUCAACUCUUGUCCAGAGUUGUUCUUUGUGAGAAGACUGUUGUAUCCUGCAGGGGACAAGUCAAGAAGAUUACGCUGGACCGAUGAAAAUAUUUACUGCAGUGGGCUUGAAUCUCCUUAAAGAGAGAGAGAUAUCUGCAGCCGAAGAAGAAGAAAAUAGUUUUUUAUUUUCUUCACUUGUAAUUUUUAGUUGUAAAUUUUAUUGUAAUUUCACCAACAUACACUUCAACUACAACACAUAAUUCAUAUUAUUAGGAACAAAAUUAUAAAAAUCAUAAAAAGUUUUGGAAUCAUCAUUUUUCAAAAUCAUUUCUAACACCAAAACAUGAAAAAUAUUAUCAUUAUUCAAAAGAAAAAUAUUCUUCAGCAAACUCAUUUUUUUCAUCACUAUAAGCAUUGCAUUCAGUCACAUCACUAUUGAUUAUCAUAAUUCUAUAUAUGCAACAUUACAGUAACAUACAAUAAACAAAAGGUAGACUAUUUUAUAGGAUCAUUUGUUAGCAGGAAAAAUGCAUCGUUUGCAGUAGUAGGCCCAAGUGACAAUCCGAGUUAAAAGCUUGGCCUAUUUAAUGUAGUAUACAUCUUUACUUGUAUUGUGCUUUAUGUUGUAUAUAAACAAGUGACAGAUAUUUUCUAGAAGAGAUAUAAGAAUAACAAUGAUUUUUUUCUUUUUCUUUUUCUCUUCUCUCUUUCUGUCUUUUUAGUUUAGGAUUUUCGUGUGAUUAAUUCAUGGUGAUUCAUUAAAUGUGUUAUACAAUAUGGUAUCAGAGCAAAAUCUACAUAAUUAUCCUCAUGGGCUAUCGAUUGAUCCUACCCUUAAAGGUUUUUGUAAGACCCCACAAAAUUCUAAUCAUUUCAGUCCUAUAUAGCAUGCCAAAAGGGGUCCCAGACUUAGAAAAAUUCAGCUAAGUGUUAUGACUUAGAAAUAUUUUUAGCCUUUGAAAUUGGAUGAUCUUAUUUAUGAUCUUUCCGACCUUAGAAUGUUGAUUUUUAAAUUGAUUCAUGAUCAGGGAUGUCAAUAGGUCAUAUUGGGUGAGUUUUAGAAUUUUUGAACUUUGUUUGGGUCGUGUUUGGAUGGGCAAAACAGCAAGCCAAUGAGAUCUUGAUACAUCGCGUUAGCUACCACAUUGACACCAUCGACACGUCGCGUCAGUGAUCAUGUCAAUUCCAUCGACGCGGUGCGUCGGGUAUCACAUCCCUAGUCCAGUUUUGUGUGUUAUAUCACAUCCCUGGUCCAGUUUUGUGUGUUAAGUUAUGGGUUUAUGGGGGUAAUUAAGUCAUUUUUCUCCCACAUUAAACUACCAUAACACAAAAUUCAGCCCCUCAAUAGGCAAAAUAAACUCACUCAUGCACAAAAUCCUCUCAAGAAAUAAACUCUAGUUCAUCAAGCUCAAGAUCAAGUUCCAAGAAAUCUACAACAACCUUCACAAAUUUCGUCACUCAGGUAUGUUAGGUGUUCAUCCUUGGGUCUCUUUCCUCCCAUGGAGUUCAAGAAACCUUUUCAAAAACUUGAAUUAUGAUUUUCAUGUUAUGAAUUAAACUAUGCCUAUGUUUGAGUUGUUGUAUGGAUUUCAAGUUGAGGUCUUUUAUGAGUUCCAUGAAAUUAUGUUAGCAUGUGUGUUGAAUUAUGAAUAUCCCAUGUCAAAACCCUUGAAUUUCCAAGAUUAAAUUGUAGUCAUGAUGCUUAUAUAUUUUUCAUUAUAAUGUGCAUUAAUUAUGAUCCUCAAGUGUUUGAUAGAAUGUCCAUGUGAAUGGAAUAGUGAAAUCAUGACAUGUUAGCAUGCAUUCUCAAUCAUGUGCAAGUCCAUGACCUCCAAGUGUUUGACAAAAUGACUCAAUGAAUGAAUUGUGAACAAUUGACUAUUGCUAUGCUUUUAAGAUUUGUCAUGCUUUAUUAUUGAUGCUAUUAAAUCCUGGGGGUAUUUAUUACCCAAAAUCUAGCUGUUUACUUUGUUGUAGUAGCUAUAGAAUCAUUCCAGGAAAGGUCAAGAAUAGUAGUACUCAGCCAGUUGGCAGAACUCAGUGAACUCAGUCCAGUUCAGUCAGUCCAUAAGAUCAGUGUUAGUUCAGUCAAGUCUAGUACAAUCUAGUGAUCAGUUCAGUGUCGAUUCAGAUGGGAGUAGGAUUCAGCACCGAGCAAACUCAGGGAUGGGGGCAUUCCUUCAAGCAGAGGGUUUGAUGCUAAGUAGCAGUCCAUACGUUAUAGAAAUACGUAGCAACUGUAGGAUGAGAUAUUUUCCUGACAGAUAAGGAUGGACAUAUCUCGUAUGAGUUUUCUUCUGAUAAGGGUUGACAAAAUGUCUUUCUGCCAGUUAGGGUGACUCACAACUAGUAUUAGUAAGCCAUCAUACGAUGCUAACGCCCUUUUAACUGGGGUUAUAGGUUGGACCCAAUUCGUCUAUAUUAGGGCAUGUCGAUUAGAUGAUACCUCCCACAGUUACAGUUUUACUGUCAGUAUUCAGUAAAGAACUCAGAUAGUUCUACAUAACCAUGGCUAUAAGUUAUCAGAUACACAGCCAUCGGAAAUUAGUAGUUUAGUAUCCGUCUAAACUUUAAGUUAUCAAUAUUCAGUUAUCAGAACUUAGUACUUCAAUCCAGUUAUAAUACCCGAAACCUUGUUUAAGCCUAAUAUAAUCUCUAGAAGAUUAAGGGAUGAAUUCCAAAGUGAGAAAUGUUUAAAUCAUAUACAGUUUUCCUAAUUUUGAAUUUUUAUCGUAUGAAAAAUUGAAUUAGCUUCCAACGAUAUAAGAUUCGCCUAAAUCUGAUAACCGGAUAAAAAGUUAUGGCUAAUUUAAGUUCUAGUCAUAAAACACUAUCAUUAUGGUGUUUAGAGCGUCACAGAGAGUGCUUAAUUAGAGGUUGUCCAAUUUCAGUAGGACUCUGUAAUGGUGGCACAUCGCGGAGGAUCCUAAUUUCCCAAUAGUUAAUUUUCAGUAGCCUAGCGCGAUUAUGGCGCAUCACACUGAAGUUUCAGGUCCCAACAAAUGGGACAACGUGAUGGCUCCAUGUCACGGUGCCCCCAAACUACCAUUCGUCAAUUUAUAGUGAGCCACCGCGAUAGUGGCGCAUCGCGGUGACCCAUAAAAUUGGGUUCCUAGUUUAAUUUUUCUAGCUUCAUUAAGAGUUAAAAGGGGGUAUUUUUGUCAAUUACCCUACCCUCAAUCCAUCCAAUAACAUAAAAUCUAUCACAUAGCUAAGCAUUUUAUGCCCUAAACAAAAACCCUAGUUCAUCAUACUUCAUCUCUAAGAAACUCAAAAUUUCUCUAUCAAUUCUCCAAAUUAAGUCAAGAUUCUAAGCUCCUAGUUCAAGAACUCCAAUAACCCUCAUUCAAGAGUACAAAUAGCAUCUCACAAGCAAGUCUAUUCAUUAAGUUCACAAUCUAAGGUAUGUGGGGUUUGAACAAGAACACUUCUUCGGUUCUUGUGCUCAAAAUCUUAUUUUAAGUUAUGAAUUUCUGAAUUUUAAUAUGAUUUCCAUGAAUGUUAAGUUAGGGUUUAUACCCCCUGUUGCUAAUUGCAUGAUUUUGAGGUUUUGAGGGGUUUGUAUAGUAAAUUACACACCUACUUUCGAAUAUUUAUGUACAUGAUUAUAUUUUUCAGAUUUUAAGUUUAAUUAAGAACAAUUGUGUUAUGAAGCAUGAACUUUAUGGUGUUUGAUAUGAAUUUAAAGCAUGGGUUUAAAGCCCUAAGAUUUAGUCUUGAUAUUUCAAGAAUGAUCAUGAUUUAAGUGUCCCAUGAACAACUAUUUUCAUAUUUUGAUAAAGGAAGUUAAUCUUUUGAACCAAGUAAAUAUAGGAAUCCACAUUAUCUAUGAUUUAAGGCAAAGUGAAGCAUAAUUAGCUUCCAUUUCACAUUCAAGUAUUAUUUAAAGUGGAUUUCCUAAAAGUUUUGAGCCUAAGUAUGGGAGUAGUAUUUAGUACCGAGUUGGGUAUGAUUCAAAGGUCUCAUGCCCCAGAACUAUGUGCCCCCGUAGGUUUCUGAUUUACCCCAAAUGGGUUAAAAUAGUGAUCACUAAAGUUAAGGUUCUAUUUCGAUGGCAAGGAUAGAGCAGCUCUCCCCAAUGUGGGAAAGAUGUUGGAAUCCAUGUCAUCUUACAUAAUUUAUAUUGGUUAGAAGAGACUCCCAAGUCCCAAAGAGUCCCAAAAUUCCAUAAUCCCAAGUCUUUAAGUCCCUAAGUUUCAAAAGAAGUUCUUUAUUCUCCUUAAAAAAGAGCAUGAGUUUGAAAGUUAUUGUUUGUAAGAAUCCUUUUGUUUACAAGCUUUGAGAAUAAGAGGGUAAUACAAAUUUUAGAACUAAGUGUAAUGACUCACGAUAUUUAUGCUACAUGUUCAUUAUUCAUGACUUAUGAGAUCUAUAUUUCAGACUUAUUCAAGUAGUGUGAGUCAUUCGUAUUUGCAUGCAUGGUUUUAUGAAGAUUAAUGAUAUUGUUUACUUAAUGCAUUGCACCCCCAUAUGCUCAGUACAUCCUUAAAGUACUGAUCUACAUAUACGUUUGUAUGCUACAUUGUCUUAUAAUGUAGGUUCAGGUGCUCAGUAUCCACAGCGUGAGUAGUUCGAUCAUCUUUAUCUACGUUUCCACAGUGGUGAGUCCUCAUGAUUCGAGGGCCUACUUCUUCAGACUUUCAGUUUUCUUUUAGUAUUUGGACUACAAUUUUUUUUCAAUUUAGUUUGAUUCAGUUGGGGGUCUGUCCAAAUGGCUCUCUAGUUUUUUAUUAGUAGAAGAGGCUUAUCAAACUAUGAGUUUGUUUUAAAACUAUUAGUAUUCUUUGUUCAGAUAGCAUCUAUAAUUUAUUCGUGUUAGUUUUAAUAUGAAACAAUAUUUACUCUUGACUAGAUUAUCUUAAAGUAAUGGUUAGAAGAAGUAGCAGGCUCAAAGGGUUAGCUUAGGGAUAUUUGUAGCCUUAAGCACCGUGUGACGUCUUGGGAUGAGAUCUUGGGGCGUUACACCAGUCUAAUUUAGACAAACAUUAUCUACGCAGUACUGCAUAUUCAACAUGAUCAAUAGUUAUAGUUUUGCAUAUACUCUCAUCUAGUUACUUUAUGAUGUUUAGUUAGUCAGUUAUCAUGUCAUGCAUAUGAACCCAUGUAUAUUAGCCUACCUCACUUAACAUACCAGUACAUUCAAAGUACUAACACAUACUUUUUCUUUGUGCCAUGAUAUGUCAUAUCAUAGGUUCGGGUGCUCAGUGUCCUGACUGUACUUAGUAGCUCAGGAUAUCAGUAGCAGAUUCAGUGGUGAGUCCUCAAAUUUCUAGGACGAUGUUUAUCUAUAUCAUUUUUUCAGUUAGCUUGGUAGUUAUUUCAGUCGGGGUUAGUUGGGGGUUUUUUCCAUCAACUCCAUAUUCAGACAGUUAGAGGCUUUCAGAUUAGCACAGUCAUAUAUCCAGUUUUUCAGAUGUUAUUAUCACUACAAUCAGUUAUUUUUUCAAUACUUGAGGACCUUAUAGCAUAUUCAGUUAUACUUCUGCAUAUAAUUUUAGUAUUUUAUUUAGUGCUCAUGGCAGGUACCAGUCAUGGGUUAGCUUGUGAUCCUUCGGGGUCGUAAGCAUCGUGUGACAUCCAGGGUGUAGAAAUGGGGGUUUACAAACUUGGUAUUAGAGUCUAAGGUUCUAAAAAAUCCUAGGGAGUCUGAAAGCCACGUCAAGUAGAUUCUUGUACUUGGGUGUAUAGUGCACCACACUUAUGGACAAGAGGCUAUGAGGUAUUUUUAGAAAAAAGUUUCCCUUCUUUCAGUGUUCAUAUCAUGCGAGUGAGCAUGCGUUCAAGUUAAACUCUCUGUCUAAUCCAACUUUUCCUUUCGUUACAGAACAUACCUCCCAGAAAGACUAAUGAAAGGAGAACUGGAAACCAGCCAAUACCUUCUCCCAUUAAGGCAGAUCCCUUGAAUGAGCACCUUUCUCACAUAGAAUUCAGAUCAGCUUUCACCUCUCUAGCUCAUUCUACAGCAGCCCAGGAUGAACGCCCAGUUGCUGUUUUGUAAAACCCCGAUUUGCUGAACUGGAAUGCUACACAGUGCUCAUGACCCCGAAGGACCACAAGCUAACCCAUGACUGAUAUUUGUACUUGUACACUGCAUAAUAUAACAUAAAAAUGCAGAAAUAUACACUGAAAGGCCAUAAGGUUCAAUACUGAACAUAACUAAACAACAUAACAUAUGUGUAGGAUAAUAGAAUACCCAAAACAAACUGAAGUCUGAAACAUAAUAGUAUGCAUCUAGUCUAUAUCUAGUCUGAAUCUAAUCUGAAAGCCUCUACUGUCUGGAUAAUCUGAAUAAGGAGUUGAUAGGACAUGUCCCCAACUAACUCCAACUAAUAAACUAAUCAAUGAAAUAACAGAGAAGUAAUCAUAUCCUUAAAGGAUGAGAACUCACUUCUACUCUGACUGCUGAAGCUGAAAUCUAUUGCUGAUCAGGAACUCGUGUCUCUGAACGUAUGGUGUAACAUAAAAAGAUAGCAGCAUAGCACAAAUGCAUCAGUACAAUGGAAUGUACUGAGUAUACAUGUGAGGUAGGCUAUAUGCAAGGGUUCACAUACAUGAAUAAUGCUAACUGACUGUCUAACAUAAACAUGAGAAUGCAUACAUAAAUGCAUAACUGUAACUGACACUGUGGUAUCGUGAUUACUGAAUCUGAAUACUGAUGACAUGAAAUUCUAAUAACUGAUAGCAUGAACAGCUAUAUCUGAAUGUAACUGAUAACAUGGGUGACUGUAUCUGACAGUCUUGAAUCUGAUGGAACUAUCUGAGUUCUAUACUAUAUCUGAGUUGAUUGUAUCUGGCAGUCCUGAAAUCUGAAAAACUAUCUGAGUUUUAUUACUGAGACUGAUUGAUUGUAUCUGACAGUUCUGAUUUUGUUAUAUGAAACUGUGGGAAGUAGUUAUCUAACCGACAUACCCCAAAUAUGCUAUAAUAGUUGAGCUGGGAUCCAAUCUAUGCCCUGAUUGGAAGGGUGUCAAUACCGCGCCACUGGUAAGGACAAUAUGUGAGUAACCCUCAUAUAACAGGUAACUCUAGUGAGAACGGUAAAAACCCUCAUAUAAUAGGUUAAGCCACCUUAUCUACCCUUAUAUAGCAGGCUACUGAUGUGCUAGCAUUUUGUUAGCAUAUUUAAGACUUUUAACUUAGAAUAAUUGUAAGUUCUUAAGUAACUAUCAUUGCUUUUGAUGAUAUUUAUUUGAUAUUACAGCAAAGUCAAGAUGCAAGAGAACCCAAGACAAUAAGGAAAAAAGAGAUGAAUAUGGAACAAAUAGCUAAGAAAUUGCAGAAGAGCAGUUGACGACUUUUGUGAUAAGUCAUCAACUUGGUGAUAAGUUAUCAAGUCCAUCAUCAGCGGGACGCAGCGUGAUGAGUUAGAACAGAAGCGUGAUGACAUCCCCUGAUAUGUCGUUAUAAAUUUGAUAAGCUAUCAAGAAUGUUGUCAGCCUUAUACAGAGAAUGGACUUCAACUGGAAUCCAUGAUGACAUUGGUGAUAAGUCGUCAAAGUUCUGAUAAGCCGUAAGGUUUCAUCAUCAUCCUAAACCAGAGAAUGUCAAAAUUAAAGAGGAUCUGAUGACAUUCCUAAUAAGUCGUUAGAACUUUGAUAAGGCGUCACGCAUGUCGUCGUCUGUUCCGAGAAAAUAGCUGUAAUCUGUGAUUUUGUUUUCAUAAUUAGCCUAAGUAUUUAAGGACAAGUCUAGGUUUUCCUUAAGAGUUUGAUUCAUCUAAGGGACGAAUUUUGGAAAUUUUAAUUUUGAAUUUCCUUUAAGUUACAGCUAUAAAUAGCAGCUUUUAGGGUUUCAUUUUGGGGGGGGGGGUGAAUCUUAGACAUCUGGAACUUUACGAACUUUAGUAUUUCUCUCUCUACUUUUGGAUACACUGUCACCAUUAACUUGUGAGAAAUUACUAUUGCUUUUUGCAGAGUUAUUUAGUGAUUGAAUUGAAGAAAUAAUUAUUGCUUUUCAUUGCUCUGUAAGUUUAUUUUUUAAAUCAUGAAUUCAAUUAUGUGUUUUGUUCAUUACAUCAUGAGUGGCUAAACUCCACUAACCUGAGUUAUGGGUUCUAGGGUUAAGUCUUGAUAAGGUGCUAAGUGUUCAAGAUUCGAAAGGGUGGUAGGAUUUCUUGAUAAUUCUGAAGCUUUAAUUAAUAUCUGUUGGUUGCAAAUAGUAGAAACACCUGCUUUGAUUUGCUUGAGAAAGAAAUCAAAUACAGUAGGAAGUGAAUUAUCAACAGGGACUCGGAAAUACUUCGUUUAAUAAUCAGCACUGUAACAAGGUUGGUUAACCUGAGGUAAAAUUUGGGUAGUGAAUAGGAAUUCCCUAAGUUCGAGAGGAUUAGGGAAUUAAACACUUAAGUAGGCCAAGAGAUAUUUAAGCAUAACAUCAAUAAAUAUAGCUUGUUGUCCUACCCACCGUGAAAAUUUUGAACCACUCUUAGCAUUUGUCAUGUAUCGGAAGUCCAAGUGAACAUAAUUCUUGUUAUAUCAUAAACUCUUGAUUACAAACACUAAAAAUUAAAAGUGAUAAACCUAAAACCCCCAUUUUAUCUUUUCGUGCCAGUUGCUUGAACUUAAAUUGUAGCUUUAGUUUCAAACUAGUUUAAUCGCCACUCACAUUGUUCCCUAUGGAUUCGACCCCGACUCUAAAAUUGGGUAAAUAGAUUGACGACGACCGCCUUGCACUAAAUUGAUGGGUAAGUUGAGUGUUAUAAAAAAUGGCGCUGUUUCCGGGGAACAAUUUGGCGUAUUGAGUUGGUUUGGAAUUUUAGCCUACUUGCUUGAAUUCAAAUUUGUAAAUAUAUGUUUUUAGUUUUCUUUUAUUUCUUGUGUUCGGUAGAUUUUUAUUUUAGUUUACUUAUUACUAUGGCAUCGUGGAAUGAACAUGAGUUUAGUGGUUGGAAAUCUUAUCUUGAUGAUCCAUGUCCAUAUUGUGAUGGAACUCACUUUUGGCAAGAUUGUAGAUAUGCUCCCCGGAGAGAGAUGUGUGCACCAUCUCCAUCCUACCGUGAGUAUGAUUGUUCUUUAUGUGGUGGUCAAGAUGGACAUUGGAGUGAUUGCCCAAAUGCCCCCGCCCCCUAUUGCACUAACCAAAAUUCUAGUUCUUCUUUUGAGUUUGACAGGUCUUAUGGUCAAGAAAACGAAGAACAAAGCACCGAAAAGAGUGGCAUUAAAGCUAUGUUUCAACUAAUAUUGAACCUCCAAGAAGAAACAUAUUGUAUUGUAUGUGAUAUGCGUCAAGGCAUGAGGCUAAUCACUCAUAAGGAGAUGGAUAUAAAGAUCAAUUAUUCAAAGCACACUUUCACAUUAUACUUAGAUGAUAUCUUAUCUGUGAAAUCAUUUUACAUAAUAGAAGAGUGUGAAGAUGAGGAUCAAGAACCCUUGGUGAUUUCCCAACCAAUCGAACCAUUCAUGAAUGAAGAUUCCAAAGAUGAGGAAAUGGUACUAGAAUUGAAAGAAGAAAUUAAGAACAAUCCUUGUGAAGACUCUAGUCCAUUUCAGGGUAAAAAUACUAAUAGGGACACUACUCUAGAAUUGAGAGCUAGUCCUCAUUCGAACCGCUUUUCAACAUUAUGCUUGAUGGAUGUGAUGGAAGUCGAACCACGCAAGCAAAUGAUGGAUUUUAAAAAUAAGGAGGAAAAUUCUUAGAUUUUGGAGUUUAUCUUUCCAAAAGGGUAUACUACAACCCCAGUCUUGAAGGCCAAGAAGUGUAAAGAUAGAUAUCCAUUUAGUGGCUUUUUAAGAUCCUCAUCGUUGCCCAUGAUCCCACACCAAAAUUCGAUGCAAAAUUGGGCAAGCGGUUCAAGUCUUUGAAGUGGCGUGAUAGAACAUUUCAUAUCAUGCCCUCACAUUUGUUCAACGGACCUAAAAGAUGUAAAGAUCAAAAGAUGGGCCGACAAGUCAAAUCAUCUAAGUGGAGGGAUAAAAGAUGACUAAAUGUUAUCGUGUCGUGACACUAAAUUAGGCGCUUCUUGGGAGGAAACCCAAGGUAUUUUGUUGUUUGUAUUCGUAUUAUGUGAUUGACAUCAGUUCUUCGCACCCAUGGUGCCACAGGUAUGUUUUUAAUGCUCUUGUUUUGGUUUGACGCAUUGGGGACAUUACAUGAUUUUAAGUUGAGGGUGGGGCUACUUGUGGGUGUUGAUGUCCUCUUGGAGUUUUUGUUGCCAUGCCUCUUUUUCCCAGAGUCUUGUUCCUAGUAAAUCCGAUAUGUUUAGGUGUAUUGUGUUUUAUUUUGUGAUGUGUUGUAGUUGACUAGGAGAAAUACAAGUACCUGAGGCAGUUAACAUGGUUUUGUUAAUUUAUGAACACCUCUCAAAUGGUCUGAUUUUUUAACUGUGUGAUUUGCAUCUAAUUGUGACCACAAUGCAUCUUUUGGUGGCAUUAGUUCUGGCAACGUGAUAAUCAGGCUAACCAAUUACACGAACCGGAUAAGUAGUGAUGUGCAAUAUAUUUGUGUGCCAUGUGUGUGUAAGGUCUUACUCAGUCCCCUUUGUAUGUGAAUCCAGAACUUACUCGGUUAGUUUUGGCUUAGUAGAAGGAUAGGGGUUAGGAGAGGAUCAUAGACCGUUUUGAUUUUAGCCCACUUUUAGCCUAAAUGGCCUUCCCUGUGUACAUAAUAUCCUUUGAUCCCUGUUUUUGAGCCUAAAUUGCCUGUUUCCUUCAUGAUACCUAUCACCUUUCCAUUUACAUCAUAAUCAACUUGUUUUGACCCUGAUCCUCCUUGAACACUGUGCACCUUGACUUAGGCAAAUAUCCUAAGUUGAGGGAGGCUAUCAUUGGGGUGCGUGAUGCAAAAUGAGUAUGAAGAGAGGUAGAAUAAGAGAAAAAAAUAAAAAGUUGGGUGUGGUGCAAAAAGAAUAAGAAAAGAAAAAGUUGUGUAAAAGAUGAGAAAAAGAUAAUUUGGUUUUUGAAAAGAUAGAACCCACUUUGAGUAUGUGUGAUCAAUAAAAGAGAGAAAGACAAAAAGGUUAAGAAGUGAAACCCCAAGAGGUUAGCGUAGUGUCAAGGAGGCGUAGUCAUUUUAAAUACCCUUGAAUAUCAUACCAUCCCUAGCCUACAUUACAAGUCAAGAAUAAGACCUAUAGUGAUUCUAGCUGACCUGUCUGAAAACCUUGGUACUGACUAUAAGGGUAAGCCUAUGGCAUUUGACGUACAUUGAGUGGAACUUCAUUCUGAGAGUGAGUCUCUUGAUUAUCCCUAUGUGUAUAUAUGUGAUUUAUGAUAUGACCAAAAAAAGGAUUUCUUUGCUGUGAGGAUACACAGGUUAUGUUGCUAGUUGGUAACUUGUUCGGAUAGUGUGAUCUUGGUACAUGCAUGGUUGUUAUUACUGAAUUUAUGCCAUAUCUUAAUUCAUGUGUGUUGCAUUGUUGUUUCUCAAUAGUAUACAUAGUUGAGUUUAAAUUGAUUGACCUGGGAGAAGGUGUAGUUGUGUGGAGAUGAUAUCAAAAAUUGCCUGCCGAAUGUACUUUGUAUUCUCUUAGUUAUAUUUUGGUUGCUUAAGGACAAGCAAUUGUUUUAAGUUGAGGGUGUUGAUGUGCUAGCAUUUUGUUAGCAUAUUUAAGACUUUUAACUCGAAAUUAUUGCAAGUUCUUAAGUAACUAUCGUUGUUUUUUAUGAUAUUUCUUUGAUAUUGCAGCAAAAGGCAAGAUUUAAGAGAACCUAAGACAAUAAGGACAAAAGAGGUGAAUAUGGAACAAAUAGCCAAGAAAUUGCAGAAGAGCAGUUGACAGCUUUUGUGAUAAGUCGUCAACUUGGUGAUAAGUUAUCAGGUCCAUGGAGGUAGUGGGAUGAAGUUGUAACAGAAGUGCGACGAUAUCCCCUGAUAUGUCGUCAUAAAUUUGAUAAGCUAUCAAGAGUGUCGUCAGCCUUAGACAGAGAAUAGACUUCAGCUGGAAUCCAUGACAACAUUGGUGAUAAGUCGUCAAAGUUUUGAUAAGCCGUCAGGUUUCAUCGUCAGCCUAAAGCAGAGAAUGUCAAAAUUGAAGAGGAUCUGACGACAUUCCUUAUAAUUUGUCAGAACCCUGAUAAGGCAUCACGCAUGUCGUCGUCUAAUCCGAGAAAAAAGUUGUAACCUAUGAUUUUGUUUCCAUAAUUAGCCUAAGUAUUUAAGGACAAGUCUAGGUUUUCCUUAAGAUUUUGAGUCAUCUAAGGGACGAAUUUUGGAAAUUUUAAUUCUGAAUUUCCUUUAAUUUACAGCUAUAAAUAGCAGCUUUUAGGGCUUCAUUCAGGGGGGAGGGGAAUCUUAGACAUCUGGAACUUUACGAACUAUAGUACUUCUCUCUCUAGUUUUGGAUACACUGUCACCAUUAACUUGUGAGAGAUUACUAUUGCUUUUUGCAGAGUUAUUUGAUGAUUGAAUCGAAGAAACAAUUAUUGGUUUUCAUUGCUCUGUAAGUUUAUCUUUCAAAUCAUGAAUUCAAUUAUGUGUUUCUUUCGUUACAUUAUGAGUGGAUAAACUCCAUUGACCUGAGUUAUGGGAUCUUGGGUUAGUUCUUGAUAAGGUGCUAAGUGUUCAAGAUUUGAAAGGGUGGUAGGAUUUCUUGAUAAUUCUAAAGCUUUAAUUAAUGUCUAUUGGUUACAAACAGUAGACAAACCUGCUUUGAUUUUCUUGAGAAAGAAAUCAAAUACAGUAGGAAGUGAAUUAUUAAUAGGGACUCAGAAAUACUUCAUUUAAUAAUUAGCGUUGUAACAAGGUUGGUUAACCUGAGGUAAAAUCUUGACAGUGAAUAGAAAUUCCCUACGUUCGAGAGGAUUAGGAAAUUAAACGCUUUAGUAGGCCGAGAGACAUUUAAGCAUAACAUUGAUAAAGAUAGCUUGUUGUCCUACCAAUCGUGAGAAUUUUAAACCACUCUUAGGAUUUGUCAUGUACCGGAAGUCCUAGUGAACAUAAUUCUGGUUAUAUCAUAAACUCUUGAUUACCAACAUUGAAAAUUAAAAGUGACGAACCUAAAACCCCCAUUUUAUCUUGUUUUACCAGUUUCUUGAACUUAACUUGCAGCUUUAGUUGAAACAAUUUUAAUCGCCACUCACAUUGUUCCCUGUGGAUUCGACCUCGAUUCCAAAGUUGGGUAAAUAUAUUGAUAACGACUUCCUUGCACUAAAUUGACGUGUAAGUUGAGCAUUAUCGGCUACGAUGUCUCAACCUAUAUUGGCUACAUAGUUCUGGAACACAAGGAUUUCUUCUAGGAAUCACACCCUCAUAUAACAGGUGAGUCCCCAUCCUUGGGUUCACUCAGUGCUAAUUCCUAUUCCCAUCUGAAUAGACACUAAACAUGGUUUAGCAACUCCCAUCUGAAUAGACACUAAACAUGGUUUACUGAACUGAUCAUGAGCUAAGUUACUGAGUUCUGUUGACUGACGAAAUACUACUGAUAUCUGACAACUGAUUGAGUCAUGAGAUCACAAAGACUUUUCCUGAGUCAUAAGACCAUCUGAAGUCUAAGAAUUCAUAGCUUGACUGAGAGUAUCGUGAAAAUAUGACAUGGCUCUAGGCACACAACUAAUGUUUUAGGUAAAAGUACCCCCAGGACUUAAUGGAAGGAAACUGACAACGCAUGAGUCACUUGAAUAAAUAAUAAUUACCAUGACACAUUUAUUGAAGCAUUUCAUCAAACAUCUAAUAGGCAUAAGCUUGUACAUUCAUGGGGAUUUCAUGAUAUCAUGCUAGUCAGGAAAUUUUCCUUCAUCUAGGCAUUUAAUCAAACAUAUGGUAGGCAUGGUACAUGUAAACAUCAUUAUUCAAUUCUAAUUUCAUCAUUCAAGGGUUUAAAUAUUAGGGUUGCAUGAAUCUAUGGCUAUAGUAAUUAAACCACAUAGAAAUUAUCAACAAGCAUGGAGUAGAAUCCAAUUUCACAUUUAUCGACAUGAACAUGAGCAGCCAAAUCAUGAAAACAUAUGGAAAAUCCAUAACUUGAGUUUAGAAAAAGAGAUUCUUGGACUUCAUGGAUGAAAGGAGUCCAUUAAUGAACACUAUGCAUACCUGAGAUUAUGUUCUUGAACUUGAAGAAUUGGAAAUCCUUUAGUUCUUGAAGAAGAUUGAAUUUUGUUCUUGGGAAUUAAGGUUAGAGAGAAACCCUAAUCUUGUUUUUGAAAUUAUAAUGAACCAAAUGGCUGACAUCGUGUAUAAUUGGGUAUGUAUACGCAGGUGCUAAAUGACCAAAAUACCCCUGUUAAAAUGACCUAGAAACACUGAACAUAAGGUACGAUAGUAGCUUCCGAUGGUCUGUCGCACCUGCGAUGGUUUGUCGAACCUGUGAUGGUCUGUCAAACUUGCGAUGAUCCGUCAGACCUGCGACGGUCCAUUGGGCCCUACCAUCAGACCUGGGAAGAAACUGGUCCCACUAGUUAUGUGCGACGGUGGCUUUCGACAGUCCAUCGAACCUACGAUGGUCCAUCGACUGCUACCGUCGUACCUGGGUAGAAAGUAGGUCCAUUGCCUCAGUUCGAUGGUCAUACUCGAUGGUCCAUCACUUAUCUGACGAUUCGUUGACCACACCGUUGUUCCUUGGCUGUUUUACUACCUUUUGUAUUUCAGCCAUAACUUUCUCAUCUGACAUCGGAUUUUGAUAAAAUUUGUAUCGAUGGAAUGCUUAUUCAAUUUUCCACGUGAUAAGAAGUAAAAAUUAUAAAAAUACCAUGUGUACAAAAUAGAUUUUUAAUUCAAAAAAAGUUCUAACAUCUUUGAGAUGAUUUUUAAGCUAAGAAAAGGCAGGGGUAUUACAUGUUCAGGCCAACCUAGUGGCCAAUACUGCUGCAACUAGAAUUCGGGUGUUCACCCAAAUGAACCCUCCUUAGUUCUCAAGGUCUAAGUCUGGAGAAGACCCACAGGAAUGCAAAAAGUAAUAGAUAUUAUGGGGUAACCACUAGUGAGAGUGCUGAGUUAGCUGCCUAUUAGUUACAGGAUGUAGCUCAUACAUGGUUUUACCAGUGGAAGGUAGAUAGGGUCAUAGAUACCGGGCCUAUAAAAUAGGAGUAGUUUGCUACUGCCUUUCUAGAUAGGUUCUUUUCGUUGGAGUUAAGGGAAGCUAAGGUAUUAGAUUUUAUCAACCUAAAGCAGGGCAACAUGAGUGUGAAAGAGUAUUCCCUCAAGUUUACUCAGUUAGCCAAAUAUGCUUCUCAUGUGAUAGCUGAUAACAGAUCUAAGAUGAGUAAGUUCGUGUCUGGUGUGUUCGAUGGUGCGAUCAAGGAGUAUAGGAUCCCAAUGCUGAUUAACGAGAUGGACUUAGCUAGGUUGAUGGUCCAUGCCCAAUAGACAAAAAACCAAAAAACUAAGGAUAGAGGAAGGAAGAAUAAGAGGACUAGAAUAUGUAGUUUUAAUUUUGCUCAGUCAGAGGGUGGUAAACAUUCUCAGUUUAGUUCAUCCUCAACUUUUUCUUCAGCUAGUGUACAAGAGUUUAGGACUUCUAGUUGGAAUGGGAUGCCAGGUUCCAAAACUUAGGUUAGUGUGAAUAAUGGUCAUACCAAUUCAUUUUAUGAAGAGUGUGGUAAGAAUCAUAAGGGAGUGUGUAGAACGAGCAGUGAUGUAUGUUUUGGAUAUGGUGAGUCAGGACACAGGGUCAGAGAAUAUCAUAAGGAUGGUCUGCAGGGUUAGAACAAUCAUUCUCUAGUUCCAUCCAAUAACCCAACUCAGCGGGGCGUCACUUCCAGUGCAACCAAUGGCCAGCGUCAGAAUAGGCUUUAUGUAUUUUAGUCCUGACAUGAUUAAGAAAAUUCUCCUGAUAGAGUUAUGGGUAUAUUACAGUCCUUUCAUAUUCUUAUGUAUAUUUUACUAGACCACGAAGCUUUAUUUUCUCUUGUAACCCCCCUACGUAUAGUUGUUAAGUUCAGUGUUAGUCCUAAAACCUUAGCAAAGACUUUCUCAGUGUCUACCCCAAUGGGUAUAUCUAGUCUAGACAGAUGGGUAUACAAAAAUUGCCCAUUACAGUAUCUUAGUAAAUCACUUCAGUUGAUUUCAGAAAUAGAGUAAUUUAGUUUUAGCUUCUCAGUGAACCAGUCAGUGAAUGAAGGGGUAGUACCUUAGUGUUUAGGAGUCAGAUGUGAUUUCAGCUUCCUUCUCAGAAUCCUAUGAUAGAAUAUGAUCUAGAAUUUGAAGCAUGAAACUAGGAGUUUAGCAACAGUAGUAAUGGGAUGGUGUUAUCUGAAGUUGAGCAGAUUAUAUAUUUUAUGGGACUAGUCAUUUGAAAGGCAAAUCAAUAAGCUUGAAGUAGUGUAUGCAAGAAUUUAAGUUUUUGAAUUGAAACAUGUGUUGUGGAUAUGAUAUUAGUAGGCUAUGAUGAAAGUAGUAUAGUUUAUUAAAGAAAUGGGGAUCUCUGGAGUAAAAUGGUUUCAGUGUUGUUUAGAGAUGUUGAUUUAGUGAUCCACAGGCUUAGAACGAUGACUUUAAGCUAAGGGGGAGAUGAUAGAAAAAGUAACCAAGCCAACCCCUCAUAUUCUAGUAGUGAUGCCAGUGUGUGUAGAACAAGACUAGGGAGGGAGACGCCCAACCCAUGCUUAUUCCAGUAUUUGCACUUCAGUUAUUGCGAUAUCUACUCAUGCCUUACAUAUCAUGUCUAUGCUCAUAGCUUAUAUUCAUGCACUUUCCAUAGAAUUAUUCAUGAUUCCAGUCCCUAGUAUAAGGAGUUCCAGUUUGUUCAGCAGUGCAAAUCACGUUCCAUGAAUUCAGAAAUUCCAAACUCAGGUCAGGCAUCAUAUGACACAUGUACUCAUGCUUUAGAGUAUGCCCAGUUCUAGUACUCAUGCCACGCUCCCAAUGAUUAGUGAAUUUCAGAUUUGUUAUAUAUACCCUCAAACUCGAUUUCUUUGAUGAAUUUAUGUCAUGGAUACUCUAUUCCACAGGCCUCAGUCUCAGAUCCCAGAUAUUCAGUCAUGAUUUGGUUCAUAAGUGUCCUAUGUAUCAUCUCAGUUUUUUAUUAGUAAUUCAGCCAAGUCAGUAUCAUUCAAGAGGUGAACUAUCCCAAGGGGCAGAUGUCGUGGUACCCUGAGUUUUCAUGUACUAAAUAUCCCUUUUUCUUUUCAUAAAACCAGAUCUAGAAGGAGGUAAUGGUUACUCAUGGGUUGACUCUCUCAUUUCUAUCUUAGUCAUAUGACCAUUCUCAUGACAUUGCAUGUAUUCCAGAAAUCAAUUCAGUUCAUGAUAUUCAGUCCAUGUAUCAUAUUUCAAACUUAGUUAUGAGCUCAUGUUCCUAUUCACGCAUGUUCAGUAAAUUAUCUCAGGUUCUUCAGUAUUCUUAACAUAAGGUAACAAUUUUCCUUAGAAUUCCUCAUUUCCAUGCUUAGUUCUGCUGCAUAACAUUCUCAUAUCAUUCAUGCAUUAAUGAAAUGGUUCAGUCACGUGUCAUGUCUUCAGAUUUCAGUCAAACUUUAGUUAUGAAUGUCAGUGUAAGUACAGUUCCUUAGUUACUCUCAGUUCAGAUAGUCUCAUUCGAGUACAAAUAUUACCAAGGAGUAGAUAUUAUAAGACCCCGUAAAAUUCUAAUCAUUUUAGUCCUAUAUAGCAUGCCAAAAGGGGUCCCGGACUUAGAAAAAUUCAGCUAAGUGUUAUGACUUAGAAGUAUUUUUAGCCUUUAAAAUUGGAUGAUCUUAUUUAUGAUUUUUUUGACCUUAGAAUGUUGAUUUUUAAAUUGAUUCAUGAUCAAGGAUGUCAAUAGGUCAUAUUGGGUGAGUUUAAGAAUUUUUGGACUUCGUUUGGGUCGUGUUUGGAUGGGCAAAAUAGCAAGCCAACGGGAUCUUGAUGUGUCACAUUAGCUACCGUGUUGACACCAUCAACGCGAUGUGUUGGUAAUCGCAUUGAUCCCAUCAACGCGGCGCAUUGGGUAUCACAUCACUAGGCUAGUUUUGUGUGUUAAGUUAAGGGUUUAUGGGGGUAAUUAAGUCAUUUUCCUCCCACAUUAAACCCCCAUAACACGAUAUUCAGCCCCUCCAAUAGGCAAAAUAAACUCACUCAUACACAAAAUCCUCUCAAGAAAUAAACCCUAGUUAUCAAUCUCAAGAUCAAGUUCCAAGAAAAGUCUAAUAGUCUUCACAAAUUUCGUUACUCAGUUAUGUUAGGUGUUCAACCUUGGGUCUCCUUCUACCCUUGGAGUUUAAGGAACCUUUUCAAAAACUUGAAUUAUGAUUUCCAUGUUAUGAAUUGAACUAUGCCCAUGUUUGAGUUGUUGUGUGGAUUUUAAUUUGAGAUCUUUUAUGAGUUUCAUGAAAUUUGGUAGCAUGUGUGUUGAAUUAUGAAUCUCCCAUGUCCAAACCCUUGAAUUUGCAAGAUUACAUUGUAGUCAUGAUGCUUAUGUGUUGUUCAUUAUCAUGUGCAUUAAUUAUGCUACCUAAGUGUUUGACAGAAUGUCCAUGUGAAUGGAAUAGUGAAAUCAUGACAUGUUAGCAUGUGUUCUCAAUCAUGUACAAGUCCAUUACCUCCAAGCGUUUGACAAAAUGACUUAAUGAAUGAAUUGUGAAUAAUUGACUAUUGCAAUGCUUUCAAUAUUUGUCAUGCUUUAUUAUUGAUGCUAUCGAGUCCUGGGGGUAUUUAUUACCCAAAAUUUAGUUGUUCACUUACUUGAAGUAGUUAUAGAAUCGUUCCAGUAAAGGUCAAGAACAGUAGUAACCAGUUAGUUAGUAGAACUCAGUGAACUCAGUCCAGUUCAGUCAGUCCACACGAUCAGUAUCAGUUCAGUCAAACUUAGUACAUUUUAGUGAUCAGUUUAGUGUCGAUUCAGCUGGGAGUAGGAUUUAGCACCGAGCGAACUCAGGGAUGGGGGAAUUCCUGCAAGCAGAGGGUUUGACCCUUAGUAGCAGUCCAUGCGUUAUAGAACUAUGUAAAAAGCGUAGGAUGAGAUAUUUUCCUGACAGAUAAGGGUGGACAUAUCUCGUAUGAGUUUUCUCCCAGUAAGUGUUGACAAAAUAUCUUUCUACCAGUUAGGGUGAAUCACAACCAGUGUUAGUAACCCACGAUAUGGUGCUAACACCCUUCCAAAUGGGGUUACAGGUUGGACCCAAUCUGUCCAUAUUAGGGCAUGUCGGUUAGAUGAUACCCCUCAUAGUUUCAGUUUUAGUUUCAGUGUUAAUAUUCAGUAAAGAAAUCAGAUAGUUCAACAGAACCAUGGCUAUCAGUUAUCAGAUACACAACCAUCAGAAAUUAAUACUUCAAUAUCAGUCUAAACUUUUAGUUGUCAAUAUUCAAUUAUCAAAACUUAGUACUUCAGUGUAGUCUAAUUUAGACAGACAUUAUAUGUGCGGUACAACAUAUUCAACAUGUUUGGUAGUUACAAUUUUGCAUGUUCUCUCAUCCAAUUACUUUAUGAUGUUCAGUUAGUUAGUUAUCAUCUCAUGCAUAUAAACUUAUGUAUAUCAGCCUACCUCACUUAGCAUACUAGUAAAUUCAAAGUACUGACGCAUACUCUUUCUUUGCGUUAUGAUGUCUCAUAUCAUAGUUUCAGGCGCUUAGGGUCCUGACUGUACUUAGUAGCUCAGGCUAUCAAUAGUAGAUUCAGUGGUGAGUCCUUAUAUUUUGAGGACAGAUUUUAUCUAUAUCAGUAUUUUAGUUAGCUCGGUAGUUAUUUCAUUCGGGGUUAGUUGGGGGUUUGUCCCAUCAACUUCAUAUUCAAACAGUUAGAGGCUUUCAGAUUAGCACAGUCAGAUAUCCAGUUUUUUUCAUGUUAUUAUCAGUACAUUCAGUUAUUUUUCUGUAUUAUGAGGACCUUAUAGCAUACUCAGUUAUACUUCCACAUAUAUUUUUAGUAUCUUAUUCAGUGCUCACGGCAGGUACCAGUCAUGGGUUAGCUUGUGAUAUUUUAAGGUCAUAAGCAUUGUGUGACGUCCAGGGUGUAGACUCGGGGCAUUACAGUUUUCUAUAGUGAUUUUUUUUGCAUAUUUCGGAGAGUUAAUUUUUUCCGACAAUUUUUGGUCAAGUUCGCUUGAGCUCGUUUAUCCUGGAGGAUCAAGGUACAUGUUUGAGGUUAUUGCUUAUUUAAGCUUAUUCAGGAAAUUUUUGAGCUCAUUCCGGCUAGUUAAGGGAAUCUUUUGUUAGUCACAAAGUUUACUUUGUUUUGUUCAACAAGGCUUCUAUUCUUUGAAGUUAUUAGAAGAAAUAUGGUAUUAUCUUUCCUUGCUCCUCAUUUUUUAACAAUUCGCAUAUCUUGUAUAUUCGAUCUUAAUUUACAGUAGAAUAUAUUCAUAAAUCAUUAUUGAAUAGUUGUUUUGAUUCCUAAAUAGAUAACCCUACUAAUAUUGCGUCUACUUCUAUGGGAUCUGAGGGUUUUACUCCCUUAUCAAUUGAUCCCUCACAUCCUUUAUAUAUUUAUCCCUUCGAUAAUCCAAUACUCCACUUGCUUUUCCUUCUUUCGAUGGGAAUUAUUUUUUUCCUUAUAUGAGGAAUAUGCUUGUAUCCUUGUCUGUAAAGAACAAGCUCAAAGUUAUUAUUGGGAAAAAUCCACAACCAACAGAGGACUUUUCUUAUUACUUAGGUUGGGAGCACAUCAAUGACAUGCUCAUUGCUUGGAUUACGAAUUUCCUAUCCUGCAAUAUUUUCCUUAGUCUCACAGGUCAUACUAUAACUAAGAAACUCUGGAGAGAUCUAAAUGAAUGAUCUAGCUAGUCCAAUGGAUCCAAAUAUAUUUAGAUUCACCGAGAGAUUAACUCCACCAACCAGGGACCAUCUGAUAUAGCUACUUAAUUAUUUUACAAAAAUGAGGUGCUUAUUAGAUGAAUCAAAUACAAAUUUUGUAGGCCCUGUUUGGACAUGUGGUGCUCUGUCCACACUUUUAGAGGAAGAAUAGUUAUUUCAAUUUUUGAGUAGAUUAAAUAGUCUUACUCUACUGUUAAGACUAAUAUCCGCAGAUGUCCCCCUUACCCUCCAUUAGUACAGCCUAUUCUAUGUUACAACAUGACGAGCACUAAAAGGAAUAAUCUCCUUAUGUCCCAUCCUUCUCCACUGAUUCUGCAAUAUUUUUAGCUUUUACCAAUUCUUAUAAUCAUUUUAGGAGAAGAAGUCCAUAUGUUUACAACCAAAAUUUUUAGCUUGAACCCAAAAAUAAUCAUAAACCCCCUUAUGAUUCCAACAUUAAUCAGAAAGUACAUUUUGAUCCCAAACAUACCCAAAGGUUUCAAUUUGAUUCUAAGAAGGGUAAUUUUACUGAUACAUCAAAUUUGUUUUGCAAAUAUUAGAAGAUAUCUUGCCAUAUUAUUGAUAAUUGUCACAUACUACAUGGUUUUCCUAUUGACUUCAAGUUCACUAAGAAUAAUAAGGCUAUUGCUUCAUGUGUUCAACAUAACAAAUCUGCAGAAGAAAUUUCUUCUUCUAUUAUCCCCACUGGUUUCUCUAAUGAGCAGUACCAAUAUUAUCAAUAUCUUUUGAGUUUUCAACAAAGUGUAUCCACUUUUGAAGGGACAUUUGAUGAUAAUACAACAUUCAGUGCUUUUGCGGGUUUGUUUAAUAGUUUUGUUAUGUCUAGCAUUGAUUCUUAUACUUGUGUUCUCUUUCAAUUAAAAAGAUAUAUCCCUUGGAUACUAGAUUCAGGUUCAACCAAUCACAUGACACCUCACAAACACCUUUUACACAAUAUUCAACCUUUAUAUAGUCCGUACUUAAUCACCCUUCCUAAUGGGUAUAAGCUAAGAUUUGUAUCUACUGGAUCUUUUCAGUUCAACUCUGACAUAACCCUUCAUAAUGUUUUUACUGUUCCUUUAUUUCAUUUUAAAUAAUAUCUAUCCACAAAUUAUUAACUCGGCUUUAAUGUUAUACUUUCCUUACCAUUUUUACUUGCUUUCUACAGGGCCCUUUUUUAAAGAGGUAAUUAGAGAUUGGUAAAGCUGUCAAUGGACUAUAUUUUUUGCAUUAAAUCUAUCUUCUACUACUGCUUUACCAUCUAUAUUCACGUCUGCAGAUUUUUACUUGUAAUAAUUAUUUCAGUACUGAAUCGAAUUCUAUUUCCACUGUUCUUAUUGCUAUUGCAUUUCCCGAUUCUAUUUUUUGUAAUUCAUUCAUCAAUAAUGAUAUUACUUCUCCUUUUAUUUCCAACAAUCCCUUCUGUGUUAAUAACAAAUUACAUGUGUUUUGGCAUCAAAGAUUAGGACAUGUUCCUUUUCAUAAAAUACUUUCUUGAAUGGUUCUUUGGAAGAAGAGGUUUACAUGAAACUCCUUCUUGGUCUUACUGUUACUCCUUCUUCCUUUUUCCAGAUUGUGUGCAGACUUACAAAAUCUCUCUAUGAUCUUAAAUAGGCCUCUAGACAGUGGUUUCUCAAACUGUCUUACGCCCUGUUGUCCAAAGGUUUUACUGCUAGCAGACAUAACUAUCAUUAUUUACUUAGGCUAUCUCUGGAUCUCUUAUUGUAAUUGUUGUGUAUGUUAAUCAUUUACUCUUGGAUGGAGAUGAUCAUACUUCCUUGACUGAUUUAAAGGCAUUUAUAGAUGUCUGAUUCCAUAUUAAAGAUUUGGGGCAUGUUCAUUACUUUUUGGGGUUGAAAAUUUCACCCACCCCCGUUGGCUAUACUAUUUGUCAACUUGAAUAUACCAUUGAAAUUCUUUAGGAGUUCCAUUGUGAUGGUGUUACUAUUUUUAAUACACCACUUGAUUCUUCUAUGAAAUUAUUGGUUGAUAUGGAUUCUCUCUCUACUGAUGCAUCCCUUUAUAGGCGUCUCAUCAGAAAGUCGAAUUUCUUGUAGCACACUCAUCGUAAUAUUGCUUUCUCAGUGCAGCACCUUAGCCAAUUUCUAAAUGCACCUCAUGUGCCUCACAUGAUGGCUACUUUACAUGUGUUGUGCUAUCUCCUUAAUUCUCACAAUCUUUUUGUCUUCCGCUGAGGUUGAGUUUAUAGCCUUACAAAAUAUUGUUGCUAAAAAAUGUUGGUCAUGUCGUUUGUUGGGUGAUAUUAGUGUCUCCAUUGACUCUCUUGUUCCUAUUUUUAUGAUAGCCAGGCCACCACUCACAUUGUCUAGAAUCCAAUUUUCGACAAACAUACGAAACUUAUAGAUGUUGAUUGCCAUUUUGUACGUGGUUGCUGACUAUUGGUGUGAUUUGUCUUCAUCAUCUUCGUACCUCUGAUAAGUUUGCUAAUCUGCUGACUAAGCCUCUUUCAGGUGUUCUUCACCAUCAGUUAUUGUCCAAGUUGUCUGUGUACUCCCCUUUUAACUUGAGAGGGGAUGCUAGCAUGAAGAAUGGGCCGUCUACAGUAGUAGCCCUAAGUGACAAUCCGAGCUAAAAGAUUGACCCAUUUAGUGUAAUAUACACCUUUACUUACAUUAUGCUUUAUGUUGUAUAUAAACAAGUGCCAUAUAUUUUCUAGAAGAGGGAUAAAAAUACAGUGACCUUUUUUUUCUCCUCUCUCUUUCAUUUAGGGUUUUUGUGUGAUUAAUUCAUGGCGAUUCAUUGAAUUUGUUAUCCAACGUCAUUUAUCACAAUCUUAACAUGACACCCUAUACUUUCAAAUAUUUCAAAAUAAAGGGAUUAUUUUUUUUUUCAAUCCUUAAUGUUUAUUCAAUUCUACACUUCACAUGCAAUUUGUACACAAAAUUAUCAAAAGAUAUCAAUAUAAAAUAAUGGUAUGUCGAAAUUAAAGGAUGCUCAAACCACUAACUUUAUUUCUCACAAAUGACCAAAGCUUAUAAUGUAAAAGAAAUGUUAGAAUAUGUAAACAAUUGUUAUUAAACUAAUUAAUGGUCGGAAGCACUAUCAUUAGAAAAAUAUUAAAGUAAUUGACUUUUAAAGAAUACGAAGUACAAAUAAAAUAGUUACUAUAAACUCUUCACCCACAAAAUAUUGUAUUUAUUAAUAUAUUAUCAUACUCAAAUAAAAUCUUCAUCCAAUUCUCUAAUAAUCACGUAAAAAUCAAGUUGAUACAAAUAUUAACAUCAUGUAUCACCUCAAAUAAUAUCAAUGUUUCAUAUGACCACGGAGAGUAUGAGGUAAACCAUUAAUGAAGUCCAUAGUAAUCCAUUUCCAUUUUCACUUGGGAAUGGGCAAUCUCUAAGUUAAUCUACCUAGAAGCUCUGCUGACAACAUCCGCAAUGAGCCACAAUGUCUGCCACAUCUCUCUUCAUACCGUCCUACCAAUAAUGCUACCUCAAAUAUCCAUAUAUCUUAGCUGUAUCGAGAUAAAUAGAAUAUCUAGAGUGAUGAGCCUCAUGAAGAAUCGACUGAAUUAGAUCAUCAAGCCGGGGAAUACAAAAUGACCCUGAAACCUCAAUGUACCCUCAAAAUAAAUGGUGUGCCUCCCAGACUCACCACAACCACUGGUCAUGGAGAAAACACAACUUGUUAUCCUCAUACUAACGAUUACGAAUCCGCUCAAAUAGGGAGGACCUCACCUCCACACAAGCCAAAAUCCUCUUAGUAUCUAAAAUAUCAAGGCAAAUCUUCAAGUUGGCUAAGGACUGAAUGUCCCAUACCACAGGCCUCUGAGAAACAAAUAUACAUGCCAAGCUACCCAUACUCACUGCCUUGCGACUCAAGGCAUCAACUACCAUAUUCGUCUUAACCGGAUGACAUAGGAUGGAAUAUCAUAGUCUUUUAACAUCUCCAUCCAUCUACGCUGGCGAGCAUUAAGCUCUUGUUGGGUCAUAAAAUGUUGAUGGCUACUAUGAUCAGUGAAAAUCUCAUAAUGUACACCAUGCAAAUACUACCUCCAAAUCUUGAACGUGAAAACUACCACCACCAACUACAAAUUAUGAGUGGGGUAGUUGCGCUCAUGCACUUUAGGAUGUCUAUAAGGGUAAGCAAUAACACAACCUUGUUGUAUCAAAGCACAACCAAGACCAACCCCAGAAGCAUUACAAAACACGGUGAAUCCCUCACCCUCAACUAGAAGAGGUAACACUGGCACUGAAGUAAGACAAUCCUUGAGCUUUCCAAAGCUCAACUCACACUCCUUGGGCCAUCGUAAAAGAACUUUCUUCCAUGUCAAUCUAGUCAUAGGAGAUGAAAUAAUCGAAAAACUCUCAACAAAGCAUCAGUAAUAACCGACCAACCCAAUGAAAUUCUGAACCCCAGUCGGAGACGUAGGCUUAUCCCAAUCACGAAUUUCCUCAAUCUUAGCCGGGUCUUCCAUAAUACCAGCCUUGUACACCACAUGUACAAGAAAUGCCACUGACUCAAACCAAAACUCACACUUAGAGAACUUGUAAAAAAUGUAUGAUCGCUCAAAGUCUGGAGCACGACUCUCAAAUGCUACGCAUGCUUCUCAUUACUCCUCGAAUAAAUAAGAAUGUCAGAAAUGAACAUAAUAAUGAAAGAAUCUAGAUAGGUCCUGAACACAUGGUUCAUUAAAUCCAUGAAUGUGGCCGGGGCAUUAGUCAGCCCAAAAGAUAUCAUUAAAAACUCAUAAUGACCAUAACGGGUCCUGAAAGCUGUCUUCAGAUAUACUCAACUUGAAUCCUCAACCGAUGGUAACCAGAUCAAGUAAAUAUUAGCAAACACUACUGCACCCUAAAACUGGUCAAAUAAAUCAUCAAUACAAGGCUUAGGAUAAUGGUUCUUUAGCAUCACCCUAUUAAGCUGCCUAUAAUCAAUAUACAUACGCAUCAAAUCGUCAUUAUCCUUACAAACAACACAGGAGUUCCCCACGGGGAAACACUCACUUUAAUAAAAUCCUUACCAAGAAGAUCCUGAAGCUGGUAGGAGCUAUACGAUAAGGUGUCAUAUAAAUAGGUCGGGUGCCAGGAUCAAGGUCACUAAUAAACUCAAUCUCAUGGUCAGGGGGAAUACCAGACAGGUCGGUAGGAAACACAUCAGGAAAGUCAUAAACAAUAGGAACAAAUUCAAUCAACAAACUGUCUACAUGAGCAUCACAUAUAUAAGCGAGAUAAGAUUUGCAGCCUCUCGAUAUAACUUUCUUAGCAUAAACAUAAGAAAUAGUCCCCAUCAUCUUGCGACUAACUGCUCCCUGCAACAUGACUAAGGGUACUCAAGAAUGGUGUAACACCCUGAGACUGCACCCUGGGUGUCACACAGUGCUUAUAACCCCAAAGGACCACAAUCUAACCUGUGACGAGUACCUGCUGUGAGUACUAAAUAUAAUACUAAAAUAUAUAUGCAAAAGAAAUUUGAAAAUGCCAUAAGGUUUCCAAAAUAUUGAAAUAAUAGCUGAGUAUAAUAGAUAAUAACAUCUAAAAACUGAAUAAUUAACUAUGCUAGUCUGAAAGCCUCUAACUGUCUGAAUAUGAAGUUGAUGGGACAAACCCCUAACUAACUCCAACUAAAAUAACUAUUGAUCGGAUGAAAUAGAUAAAAUCUAUCCUCGAAAUAUGAGAACUUACCACUAUAACUGCUAUUGAUAGCCUGAGCUACUAAGUACGGUCAGGAAGCUGAGCGUUUGAACCUAUGAUAUAAGACAUCAUAGCGUAAAAGAAAGUAUACGAUCAGCACGUAAAAUGUACUGGUAUGCUAAGUGAGGUAAGGCUAAUGUACAUGGGUUUAUAUACAUGAGGUGAUAACUGACUAAAUCAAUAUCAUAAAACAACUGGAUAAGAGUAUAUGCAGAACUGUAACUGUUGAACAUACUGAACAUGCAAUACUAUGUAUAUAGGUAUACAUCAUAUAUCUGAGAUUAUACUAAAACUAAAUACUAAAUUCUGAUGGUUGAGUAACUGAUAACAGAUAGCCAUGGUUUUGUAGAACUGAUUGAGUUAUUUACUAAAUACUGAGACUGAAACUGUAAUUAUGGGAGUGUUCGUCUAACCGACUUACCCCGAUAUGGACUGAUUUGAGUUCCAACCUGUAACCCUAGUUGGAAAGGUGUUAGCACCUUGCCAUAGAAUACUAACAAUGUUGUAUCAAUCCUAAUCUGGCAGGAAGACUCAUGAAUAUGUAUAUGAUUACGUCAACUCAAGUCUGGAAGGAGAACAACUUACCCUACGCUGCUACGUAGUUCUGUAACUCAGGGAUUGCUACUAAGGGUCAAACAUUAACUGGCAGGAAUGUCCCUAUCCCUGGGUUUGCUCGGUGCUGAAUCCUAUUCCCAACUAAAAGACACUGAUCACUAAACUGUACUAAACUUGACUGAACUAACCCUGAUCGUGUUGACUAACUGAACUGGACUAAGUUCACGGAGUUUUGUUAACUGACUGAGUACUACUGUUCUUGACCUUUAUUGGACUAUUCUAUAACUACUUGAACUAAGUAAAUAGCUAGAUUUUGAGUAAUAAAUACCCCAGGACUCGAUAGCAUAAUUGAUAAAAUCACAUCAUAACUUUAACAAUAUAAUAAUAAGUUACCAUGAAUAAUUUACUCAUACAGAUAUUUUAUCAAACACUUGGGGAGCAUGGUUAUUGCACAUGAUAAUGAACAACACAUAACCAUCAUGACUACAACCUAAACUUGCAAUUUUAAGGGUUUUAACAUGGGUAUUACAUCAAUCAACAUGCAUGCUAUCUUAUGUUCAUGAAAUUGAUAAUUAAAUCUUAAAUUAGAACUCAUACAACAACAUAAGCAUGAAUAUAGCCCAAUUUGUGCAUGUAAAUCAUGAUCUGAAAACUUGUAGCUUUAAAAAGGUUCUUGAACUCCAAGGGUGGAAGAAAACCCAAUGAUUAACACCUAACAUACCUUGAUUAUUGAUUUCAUGAGAAUUGUGGUAAAUUCUUGGGACUUGGACUUGAACUUGAUGAAACUAGGGCUUUGUUCUUGAGAGUAUUUGUGAAAUAAUGAGUGAAUUUUGUCCUUUGGGAGGUUUAAUUUUGUGUUAUGGCUGAGUAUUAUAAGGGUAAAAUGAACCAAUUACUUCCAUAAACUCGUAACUUAAUACACAAAACUUGCCUAGUGACUCGAUAGGUGAUGCACUGCGUUGAUGGUGUUGACGCUAUUGUCGAUGUGCCACAUCAAUGCUGUCGAUACGAUGCCAAUGUGACUCAUCAAGAUCGCAUUGGAUUGCUAUUUUGGCCAUCCAAACAUGACUCAAACGAUGUCCAAAAUUUCUGAAACUCACCAAAGAUGACCUAUUGACAUCCCUGAUCAUGAACCAACUUAAAAAUCGACAUUCUAAGGUUGUAAGGAUCGAAAAUAAAACCAUCCAAUUAUGUAGGCUAAAAUGAUUCUAAGUCUUAACACUUAGCUGAAUUUUUCUAAGUUUGAAUUCGGGGCCUUUAAAUACUCCCACUUGGGAAUAUUCAUUCUCAAAUGAGAUUGACUGAACUGAGAAAAACUGAAGAACUGUACUUACACUGACAUGCAUAACUGAAGCAUGACUAAAUUUUGGAGACAUGACACAUGACUGAACAAUUUCAUGAAUGCAUGAAUGAUAUGAGGAUGUUAUGCAGCUGUAAAGAGUAUGGAAUAUAGUAAAUCUAAGAAAGACUGUUACCUUAGGCUGAGUCUGAUUUUGUAGAGAAGAGAUGAGGGUACUUGGUUUGCAUGUCUUCUUUUGCUUCCCAAGUACCUCCCUCAACAAACUAAUUUUCCCAAAAAAGUUUGACCAAAGAAACUUCUUUGUUCCUUAGUCUGUGAAUCUGACGAUCAAGGAUUUUGACUGGGACUUCCUCAUAAGAGAGACUAUUCUGAACAUCUACACUCUCUAUAGGGACUACAACUGCUGGGUCACCAAUGCACUUCUUUAGCAAGGAGACAUGAAACAAUGGGUGCACUGAUGCUAAGUCUACGGGUAACUCAAGCUCAUAAGCUACCAUACCGAAAUGACUCAAAAUCCUAUAAGGACCAACAUAUCGGGGACUUAGUUUCUCCUUCUUACCAAACCUCUUCACCCCUUUCAUGGGAGAGAUUUUUAAAUAUAUAUAAUGGUCAUUCUUAAAUUUAAGAUCUUUCCUUCUCAUAUCUGUAUAAGAUUUUUGUUGGCUCUGGGCUGUCUUAACCCUUCCCUUGAUCAAUUAUACUUUCUCUAAGGCAUCAAACACCAAGUCAAGCCCCAAUACUAUGGCCUCACCUACCUCAAACCAACCAAUAGGAGAUCUACAUCUUCUCCUAUAAAGAACCUCAAAUGGAGCCAUCUGGAUAUUAGAAUGAUAGAUGUUAUUAUACGCGAACUCAAUCAAAGAUAAGUGGUCAUCCCAACUGCCCUUAAAGUCAGCGACACAUGUUCUCAACAUAUUUUCUAAAGUUUGAAUGGUCCUUUCUGCUUGACUAUCUGUUUAAGGGUGAAAGGAUGUACUGAGGUGGACUAAGGUAUCAAGACCCUUUUAGAAGGAUUUCCAAAAGUGAAAGGUGAACUGCGUAAUUCUAUCUGAAAUAAUGGACAACGGGACACCGUCUAACAUAACCAACUCUCUGAUAUAGAUCCUGGUAGAGUCCUUGACUGAAUAAGAAGUUAGAACUGGAAGAAAAUGGGAUGAUUUGGUCAUCCUGUACAUAAUGACCCAAAUUGAGUCAUGCUAAUGACGAGUACGAGGUAAACCUACCACAAAAUCCAUGUUCAUUUCCUCCUACUUCCAAGUGGGAAUACUAAACUUCUGCAUAGACCCACUAGGCUUUUGGUGCUCAAUCCUAACCUGCUAACAUGUGGAGCACUUAGCUACAAACUCUACAAUAUCUCUCUUUAUCCCACUCCACCAAUAGAUAUGCCGCAAGUCGCAGUACAUCUUAGUGGCCCCUGGAUGAAUAGAGUAACAUGCACCAUGUACUUUAUCAAGAAUUUGCUGUCUCACAUCAUCCACACAUAGCCUACCCUAGCGACACAACACACCAUCUUUCCCUUGGGAGAAAAUCUUUACUUUCUAGUCUCUGACUGACUCUUUCAAUUUAACUAAACUGGGAUCUCUGUCCUGCUUUUCUUUCACCUCUGAAACUAAAGAAGACUCUGAACUAUGCCACACCCAAAUACUUUCCUCGGCUGAAUCAACCAAACGGACGCCUAGUUUGGUAAGCUGAUGAACUUAAUGAGCUAACUUCUUCUUACCAUCCUUAACGUGAGCAAUACUACUCAUAGACAACCUACUGAGGGCAUCUGCCACUACAUUGGCCUUGUCCAGAUAAUAUAGAACACUUAUGCCAUAGUCUUUCAAUAACUCUAACCACCUUCUCUGAUGCAAGUUCAGGUAUUUCUAUGAAAACACAUACUGUAGGAUUUUGUGGUCUGUGAAUACAUCAACAUGCACCCCAUACCAAAAGUGCCUCCAAAUCUUUAAGGAAAAAAUAACAGCUGAUAAAUCAAGAUCAUGGAUAGGAUAAUUCUUUUUAUAGGGUUUAAGCUAUCUAGAGGCAUAGGCCACAACCUUACCCCUCUGUAUCAAAACACACCCCAAGCCAACUCUAAAAGCAUCACAAUAAACAACAAAUCCAUCUGAACCGUCGGGUAAAGUCAAAACUGAGGCUGUAGUGAGUCAAGUCUUUAACUUAUGAAAACUCUUCUCACAAGAGCCUGAUAAUUGAAAUUUAACUUUCUUCUGAGUCAAUCUGUACAUGGGGUAUGCAUUAGACAAAAAUCCUUCAACAAACCAUCGGUAAUAGCCAUCCAAACCCAAGAAACUCCUGAUAUCUGAUGGAGAGAUGGGUCAGGGCCAGUUUAUCACUACUUCGGUCUUUUGAGAAUCAAUGCUAAUGCCAUCAUCGGAAACUAUGUGACCAAGAAAAGAUAUUGACCUUAUCAAAAAUUUGCAUUUACUGAAUUUGGCGAACAACUGAUGCGCUCUGAGAGUCUGCAAUACUAUUCUGAGAUGGUCUGUAUGGUCAUUUUCACUACGGGGGUGACAAGAAUAUCAUAGAUGAAAACUAUGAUGAACAUGUCCAAGUACUGCUUGAACACACGGUUCAUCAAGUUUAUGAAAGCUAUUGGGCAUUGGUAAGACCAAAUGACAUGACUAGAAACUCGAAGUGACCAUUCUGGGUUCUAAAAGCUAUUUUUAAAAUGUCAUAUUCUCUGACUCUGAGCUGAUGAUAGUCGCAUCUGAGGUCUAUCUUAGAAAAGUAACUGACACCCUGAAGUUAGUCAAACAAGUCAUCAAUUCUAGGAUAUGGGUAUUUAUUCUUAAUGGUGAGUUUGUUCAACUGACGGUAGUCUAUACACAUUCUAAGAGAACCGUCUUUCUUUCACAUGAAUAGAAAUGGUGCACCCCAAAGGGAUACACUGGGCCUGAUGAACCCUUUAUCUAAGUGGUCCUUCAACUAUUAUUUUAACUCCUUAAGUUCAGCUGAAGCCAUUCUGUAUAGCGGAAUAAAGAUGGGAUUAGUAUAAAAAAGAAGGUCUAUUCCAAAGUCAAUUUCCCUUUCAGGAGAUCUUCGGGAAACACAUUGGGAAAUUCACUUGCGACUGGAACUAACUCAAGAUUAGGAGUCUCGGAACUAGAGUCUUUGACUCACACCAAAGUGAUAGACACACCCCUUGGAUAUCAUUUUUCUUGCUCUAAGGUAUGAAAUAAGUUGACCCCUAAAUGCUGAAGUACUACCCAACCAUUCUAGGAUAAGUUCAUUCUAGAACUGAAAAUAGAUAACUCUAUUUCUACAAUCAACUGAUGCAUAGCACGUAUUAAGCCAAUCCAUGCCGAGAAUGAUGUCAAAAUCCGUCAUCUCUAACUCUAAUAAGUCUGCUGAUGUAACUUUUUGAGACACCAUAACCGGAUAGUUCCUGUAUAUCCAUCGAGCUAUAAUAGACUUACCCACUGAGGUAGAGACUUAGAAAGGCUCUUUUAUGAUUUCGGGACUGACUUCAAAGUUGACGGGUAUACAAGGAGUUACAAAAGACAAAGAAUAUCCUAGAUCUAGCAAAUUAUAAACAUAUAAAUGGUAAACUUGUGACAUACCAGUGACGACAUCAGAAGAACUUUCCUGAUCCUAUUGAGAAUGGAGUGCAUAGAGCCUAUUUGGGCGCUGCCCACUGGUGGCACUGGAAGUUGCACCCUACUGAGAUAGGUGACUGGGUUGAGCUGGGGGACGACACAUACGUCGUUGCCAGCCCUGCAGACACUCGAAUAAUUUCUGCCACUCUUCUGACAAGAAGGAUUUGUCUGGGCACUGUUCACACUACCUUGAGAUUUAGAGCCUGGGGCUCUAUCUAUAUUACCAUUUUUGAAUUUAGGCACUGGAGAACUGGCUGAGGAUAGAGCUAGGACUGAAGAUUUUGGGCGGAACUGAGGACGAUUACCACCCUCUGACUUAGGCUAAGCAAAACUAAAGCUACUUGUUCUAGCCCUCUUAUUUUCCCUCUCUUCACCUUAGUUUUCUAUUCCUUAAUUUGCUCAGAAUGGACCAUCAACCUAGCCAAGUCCAUCUCCUUAAUCAACAUUGUUGUCCUACACUCUUUGACCACACUAUCAGACACACCAGAUACGAACUUGAUCAUCUUAGACCUACUAUCAGCUACCGCAUAAGGAGCAUACCUAGCCAACUGAGUAAACUUCAGGGAAUACUGUUUCACACUCAUGUUUCCAUGGUUUAGAUUAAUGAACUCUAGCACCUUAGCUUCUCUCAACGCCGACAGAAAGAACCUAUCUAAAAAUACAGUAGCAAAUUUCUCCCAUUCUAUAGGCCCUGCAUUUGCACCCUUAUCUACUUUUCACUUCUUAAACCAUGUAUGAGCCAUAUCGUGUAACUGAUAGGAAGCUAACUCAAUACUCUCACUAGCAGUUACCCCCAUAAUGUCUGUUACCUUCUACACCAUUUUAAGGAAUUCCUGUGGGUCCUCUUCAAACUUAGACCCUAAAAAUGAAGGAGGGUUCAUUCGGGUGAAGUACCAAAUUCUAGCUGUAGCAAUAUUGGCCACUGGGUUGGACUGAAUAGCAACUGGUCGAAAAUUUUGAGUUGGUGAAGAAUGGGCUAGAGUGGUGAAAGCUUCUCUGAAUUCUACGUUAGAAACGUGCUCAUUCAGGGGAUCUUCUUGAACUGGCGAAGGUGUUGGCUGGUUCCAGUUCUUCUUCCGUUGGUCUUUCUGGGGGGCAUGUUCUAUAAACAGAAGGAAAAGUUGGAUUAGACAGAGAGUUUAAUUUGAGAUAAUGCUCACUUGUAUGAGGUAAGAAGUGAAAGAAGGGAACUUUUUCCUAAAAACGCCUCAUAGCCUCUUGUCCAUAGGUGUGGUGAGCUACACACCCAUGUAUAAGACUCUAUUUGAUGCGGCUUUCAGACUCCCUGGGACUCUUUAGAACCUUAGGCUCUAAUACCAAGUUUAUAAUGCCCCGAGACUAUACCCUGGGCAUCACACGGUGCUUACGACCCCGAAGGAACACAAGUUAACCAUGAAUGGUACUUACUAUGAGCACUAAAUAUAAUAUUAAAAUAUAUAUGCGAAAAAAAUCUAAAAAUGCCAUAAGGUUCCUAAAAUAUUAAAAUAAUAGCUGAGUAUAACAGAUAAUAACAUCAGAAAACUGAAUAACUAACUAUGCUAGUCUGAAAGCCUCUAACUGCCUGAAUAUGGAGUUGAUGGGACAAACCCCCAACUAACUUCAAUUGAAAUAACUACUGAACUGCUGAAAUAGAUAAACUCUAUCCUCGAAAUAUGAGGACUCACCACUAUAACUGUUGUUGAUAGCCUAAGCUUCUAAGUACGGUCAGGAACCUGAGCGUUCGAACCUAUGAUAUGAGACAUCAUACCACAAAAAAAAGUAUGCAAUUAGUACGUGGAAUAUAUUGGUAUUAUAAGUGAGGUAAGGUUGAUGUACACGGGUUCAUAUGUAUGAGAUGAUAACUGAAUGAACGAACAUCAUGAAGUAACAGGAUGAAAGUACAUGUAAAACUGUAACAGCUGAACAUACUGAACAUGUAAUACUGCGUACAUAGUUAUACAUCGUGUAUCUGAGAUUAUACUGAAAUUGAAUACUAAAUACUUAUGGUUGAGUAACUGAUCACUGAUAGCCAUGAUUUUGUAGAACUGACUGUGUUCUUUACUGAAUACUGAGACUGAAACUGUUACUGUGGGAAUGUUCAUCCAACUAACAUACCCCGAUAUAAACUGAUUUGAGUUGGAAGGGUGUUAAGACCUUACCAAGGGAUACUAACAAUGUUGUGUCAACCCUAAUCUGGUAGAAAAACUCAUGAAUAUGUAUAUGAUUACGUCAACCCUACUCUAGCAGGAGGAUGAUUUACCCUACGCUGGUUACGUAGUUUUGUAACUCAGGGAUUGCUACUAAGGGUCAAACACUAACUAACAGGAAUGUCCCCAUCCCAGGGUUCUCUCAGUUCUGAAUCCUACUCCCAACUCAAAGAUACUGAUCACUAGACUGUACUAAGCUUGAUUGAACUGACCCUGAUCGUGUUGACUUACUAAACUGGACUGAGUUUACUAAGUUCUGUUAACUGACUGAGUACUACUGUUCUUGACCUUUACUGGGACUAUUCUAUAACUACUAGAACUAAGUAAACAGCUAGAUUUAGGGUAAUAAAUUCCUCCAGGACUCGAUAGCAUAAUUGAUAAACUCAUAUCACAACUUUAACAACACAACAAUAAGUUACCAUGCAUAAUUUACUCAUAUGGACAGUUAUCAAACAUGUGGGGGAAUGGUUAAUGCACAUGAUAAUAAAUAACACAUAAGCAUCAUGACUACAACUUAAACUUGCGAUUUCAAGGGUUUUAACAUAGGAAUCACGUUAGUCAACAUACAUGUUAUCUUAUGUUCAUGAAACUUAUAAUUAAAUCUUCAAUUGAAACCCAUACAACAACACAAACAUGAAUACAACCCAAUUUGCGCAUUUAAAUCAUGAAUCUAAAAAGUUAUAGUUUUAAAAAGGUUCUUGAACUCCAAGGGUGGAAGGAAACCCAAGGAUUAACACCUAACAUACCUUGAUUAAUGAUUUUAUGAGAAUUGUGGUGAAUUCUUAGGACAUGGAAUUGAACUUGAUGAAACUAGGGCUUUGUUCUUGAGAGUAUUUGUGAGAUAAUGAGUUAAUUUUGCCCUUUGGGAGGUUUAAUUUCAUGUUAUGGCUGAGUAUUGUAAGGGUAAAAUGACCCAAUUACCCCCACAAAUCUGUAACUUAAUACACAAAACUUGCCUAGUUCUGCAAUAGGCGAUGCGCUGCAUCGAUGGUGUCGAUGCAAUUGCUGACAUGCCACAUCAAUGUUGUUGACGUGACAGCCAAUACGAUGCAUCGAGAUCACAUUGGCUUGCUGUUUUAGCCAUCCAAACAUGACUCAAACGAUGUUCGCAAAUUUUAAAACUCACCCAAGAUGACCUGUUGACAUCCCUGAUCAUGAAUUAACUUAAAAAUCGACAUUCUAAGGUCGUAGGGAUCGAAAAUAAGAUCAUCCAAUUACAAAGGCGAAAAUGACUCUAAGUCUUAACACAACUGAAUUUUUCUAAGUUGGGACCCCUUAUUACAAGCUAUAUGGGACUAAAUUGAACUAGAACUUUGUAGGGUCUUACACAUGGCUAAGGUAAUGGUCUUGGCAAAACAACCCAUGAUCGCAUGAUAGUGGGAGAACUAGUCCAUGCCCAGUAUCACAUUAAAAUCCAGCAUAUAUAGAAUAAUAAGAUCAGUAUAAGUAUCAACAUCACUAACUAUCAUAACAUAUGAUUUAAACACUCGAUCCAUUACUAAAGAAUUACUCAUGGGAGUAGAUACGUGUAAUGACACAAAUAAUAAAUCACUAGUCAAAUCCAAUUGUGGUGCAUAGUAAGCAGAUGUAUAAGAAUAAGUGUAUCCAGGAUCAAAUAAAGCAAGAGCCGACUUGCAGCACACUAAAAUCGUACCUGUCACAAAACAUCCAAAGUCUUAGCCUCGAGUCUAGCAGGUACUACAUACAACUAGCCACACACGUCACCUGACUGGGUACUUGACCGACCUUAUGUCCUACCUGCCUGCGUACUACCUCGAGCACUAUGGUAACCACCCCUCUGACCUUGCGAACCAUCUCUACUUGAGAGGUAAACUGCCCUAAUAGGAUUCACACCUGGUCUGAAACAACCAUCAUCUCAGGACUAGGACAAUCUCACAAAAAAUGACCCAAAAGCUCACAAGUAAAACAAGAGUCACGAAUAGAACCAGAACUCACAGAUCUGACCGAACCGUAGUAACCACCACAUAUAUCAUGAAUCAAAAAUGAACCCCCUCUAGGACUGAUCACCGCCUUUAAUAGGGAGACCACUAGCUCCAAACUUACCUCCGUCCAUAGUCUGAAGAGCUUUCUUAACUAGUCGGCAAGGCUGACUCUGAGGAUAAGAAGACAGAUGUGGAGGAUACCCAACAUGAGAACCACCACCCCUAAAGCGAGAACCACUACGACUCCUACCAAAUCUACCCUGGAAUCCAGGCCUCUUAUCACGGCCCUCACGACUCUCCUUGUGCAUCUCCUCCAUCACUCUAGCAUGAUCAGAAACCUUAAUAAAAGUCCUACCCGCAAUAACUAGACUCUGAGUAGCCAUUCGAAUAGGGAGUCUCAACCCUCUAAAAAACCAUCAAACUCUCUUAUACUCAGUGUCUAAAAUAGAAGUCGCAUGUUUGACCAACUUAUGAAAAUAGGUGUCAUACUUAGCGACUAUCAUGGAGCUUGGCUCCAAUCUGGAGAUCUGAUCGCUUAGACGAUUUCUAAGGCUGCACAACAUAUAAUUAUUCAAGAAUAUCUUGGAGAACUGAGUCCAUAAAAAGAGAGAAGAUCCAACUGCUAGAAUUCGAGAAACCCCUCCACCAGUGACAAACAGACAAAUCCAACUAAAAUAUGGUGUAAUCUACACCACUAGUCUCAAGAAGGACAAAACCACGAAGCCUAUCCUCAUAAGCAGUAAGAAACUCAAAUGCAUCCUCUCUGGAAACCAAAAAACCUAGGCGGAGCCAACCUAAAAAAUCUACCCAAUAUUUUUUGCUUAUCGACAGACAUAGCAGGCUAGGUCACAACUAGUGGCAUAGCUACCGAAUGAACGACUACCAGCACAGAAGGAAUCACAACACUGGGAGUAGGUACAGGCUGCGCCCCGAUCCCAAUAGUUUGAGAACUGUUAGAUGAAACACCACCAACCAUAAUCAGUAUCUGAAUCAGGGUAUUUCUAAGCAAUGAAAAAGGAAUGAAGCAUAGUGGAGCCUGGGCUGGUCCCUAGCCCACCCCUGGCUAUGGCAGAGGAAAUAGCUCAGGUACAAUGAUAAAUUUUAGGGAAGAUGACCUAUCCUGAUUCCUAGCUGGGGACAAAUCACGAGGCUAUCCUCGACCUCUAGUUCAUCUAUGAAUAGGAGCCAGAUUCCUGGGCCCGACCCUCAUCUUGCAUAGAGGUAGCGCGUCUCCUCGGCAUCUGUAAAAGAUAAAAGUCAAGAAAAUAUACUACAAACCAAUUCAGACUCUUAGCACGAUAUGAAUAAAAAAAGUGAAGGACUUCUAAGAAUGUCACAUAGUGUCCCGACGAUAGGAAACUGACAUCAAUGUUUCGAUCCGCAAGACUCUAUUAGAGACUUGCUCUUCUACUAAUAAUACCGAUGAAACCUAAGCUCUGAUACCAAUUUAUCACAACUCAAUUCACGAAUCGUGAUGGCACCUACUAAACCCACCAGUAGGCAAGACAACACUAUAACCCAAAGCUAAGGCAACAGGUUAUUUUGGUAGAAACGUCCGACAAGGGCCAUAAUAGAUGAACACCACAACAAACAAUGAUGUUCCACAACAGACAAGCAAUUAUGGAUACCAAUUCCUAUGACCUAGUAAUAUUUGUACAAGAGCAUCUAUGUUCGAUAAUAGGAAAUACAACUCAAAGUCUAAAUAGUCUUAUACAUUUGUAUCAAAUACAAAAGGCUGAAUAAAGAUAGGAGGGGAACGGGCGACUCGAACUCCAAGAGCUCACCCUGUCUUUGGAAGAUCAACACAGCACGAUCUCAACUUAACGGUAGCAACUAAAACUCGGAUCUGAACCAAAAAGGUACAAAAGUGUAGUAUAAGUACCAAAACAACGGGUACUUAAUAGGCAUCACUGGCCGACUGAGCUAAAUUAUGAUAUAAAGUGACAUAAAGUAAGACAAUAACUAUAAGUAAAGGUAUAUAAUCAAACAUGAAUAGUCUCCAUCAUCACUGUACAAUAUAACUAAUCAACUAGAACAAUAAUACGAUAUCUCAUGUCAAAAUAUACCACAACCAUCAUACAUAAUGAAUAACUGAUUUGGAAGUGUAAAGAAACAUAUGUAUAAUUACAAUUGCAUAAAUUCCAAGUUUAACGUGCAUACCAUCAUUAGAGCAUAAAGCAAAAGAACUUACCAUGACGUCUCAUACCACUGAAAAGUACACCCAAAAGAACACAAAGUAAAGAACUCAUUAUGACUUCCCAUACCACUGGAGAGUGCACCAAUAGAUCAAUUCAUCAACGCAUCAAGAAUAUAAAUAUACACAACCAACUCACAUUUACUACGAUUUGCAUAUUUCCAUUAACGGCCAUUUGACAAGUCCCAUAAUCAUCAUCAAUUAUCUUAAUUUGACACAACGAAACCAAUAUAAUCAUAACCAUAGUUAUAUAGUCAUUUAGACCUCUAACUCAUUAAUAUACUCAAUCUAGUCUAUAUCAACUAACCACCAUUUAUUAUUAAGCUACUACUUUACUAGUCAUCAUAAGGCCUCCAAUCAUUAGCCUAACCGAUUCUGUAUAGACCUUCUUCAUGAAAUAGAAACUAAUUAUCAUUAUUAAAUAGCCAACUUUCAUAUCUAGUCAAGAUGCACAACUAAACCAUAAUCACCAUUUAACCCAAAGUUCCUAGUUACCAUAGGUAUACUAGCCAUCAUAUAUUACAUAUUAUCAAACACAUUUAUCUAUCUAUUAUUCAACAUCUCUCAUUUGUUAAUGUUAGGUCUAUUAUUAUCAUUAGCCAUUUAACAAGCAUGGCUACUAAUUUCUACAUUUAAUUAAACGAGGUUCACCAACUAGUAUUCUAGGAAUUGUAGCCAUCAAGUAAUAUAACCACUUUAUAUAAACAAUUAUAACUCACUCCACUAGGUGAAAUCCCAUAAUUUAACCAUUUGUUCAAGACAAAUAUAUUUAUUAGGUGAUUUCUUAAUUCUACACAUGAUUACACUUAUCAAAUUAGUCUUGACUCACUAGUCCACAAUUUCUACUUCUAUUCACUAUUAAGUAUUAACAAGAGUCACGCCACUUAACUAGUGAUUAAUGAUAGAGAAUUAUAGACGCUUUCCAAGAAAAACAUCAUAUCCUACAUGGACACAAGGACUUUACCAUACAAUGGAACAACCAUGCAUAUACCUAUAUUUUCACACAUUCUUACCAUACAUACAUCACCAUAACAUCAAUAUAUCCUUCGGGUUUAUCGAGCAUCACCACAACAUCAAUAUUUUUUUUGGAUUAUCGGACAUCAUCACAUCAUCAACAUAUCCUAUGAAUUUACCAGGCAUCAUUAUAACAUCAAUACCUCUUCCAAAUUUACCGAGAAUCAUCACAUCAUCAAUAUAUCAUUUGAAUUCACCAAGCAUCAUCAUAACAUCAAUACCUCUUUUGAAUUUUCUGAGAAUCAUCAUAUCAUCAACAUAUCCUCCGAAUUCACUGGGCAUCAUCAUAACAUCAAUAUAUCCACCGGAUUCACCGGGCAUCCUUACAUCAUCAACAUAUCCUUCAAAUUCACCUGGCAUCAUCAUAAAAUCAAUACAUCUUUCAGAUUUAUCAGGCAUUAUCAUAACAUCAACAAAUCCUCCAAAUUCACCGGGCAUUAUCAUAACAUUAAUAUAUUUACCAUGACAACAAUACACACGCAUACACACACACACACACAUAUAUAUAUAGCCAAAUUAAUAACAAGUUCAAACCCACGAAGAAUAGAAUGGAAAAGAAGUAAGAAGGAUAUAUCAACACACAUUGCAUUUAUUAUCAAUGCAAUAUGUUUUUAGGUGCAUGAGCAUGUAUAUACAUAUGACAAGAACACUUUGUAUAUUACCGGACUUAACAUGAUUAUUAGCAUGGUCAAUAACUAGCCAUGACUAUACUUUCUAGAAUCUUCCUUUAUAUGCAUGAUUCAUAAUACAAUGAUUAAGGAACUCUUUUGCACAAAUAUUAGUUUAGUCAUUAGUCUUGAACAUAAUAUGUGUAAUAGCAUAAUCCAAGGUUCGCAUAACAAUAACCCAAAAAUUCAAGUGAUAGCAAAGUCAUAGGCUCAAUUUACAAGACCUUCCAUUGCUACUCAACAAUUUCAAGAAGAUGACAAUCAACAUACACAUUAUUUUCAGAGCAACAUUAUUUAUAACCUCUCUACCGAUUCUAACCAUCACAAAAAGUAUAUUCUAGGCGUUUAACACAUAUCUAGGUCACUAACAAUUUACAUUAUCCAAACUUAAUGCGGUCACGUUCCGCUUCUAAUGUCUCAACAUAUCCGUUCAAGUCUAACUUCUAUCGGAGACUAGACUAAUUCAUCUACAUCAUGUCUUAGAGGUUUAACAAUCCAUACUAGUUCUAUGGUAUAAUUCUUCCUUAAGUAUUACUUUUAGUAUAUUCAAGGUAUAUAAGGCAAAUUUCACAACUAAACAUAUCUAAGGUCAAAUUACUCUUAGUGUGAGUGAAAAAGGUCGCUCCCAUCUAAUUACAACAACUAGAGCAUUCUCAUACUAUUUAUGAGAUAACAAGUCUAACUAUCCAAGGUUCUAAGCUAUAACUCAAUCACCACACUAUACAGGUUCAAUGGCCUAAGUAGUAAAACUGAUCCCAAAUAUACCAUUUAUCGUACUAAUGCCUAGAACUCACCUGAAAAUUAUACUACAAUAAAGCUCAAUCUAACAAAAGUAGGUCUAACCUACCUUGAAUCCAAAUAUAGACUACAAAUCAACAAUCUUCGCUUUCCUUUUUCUCGAAGCUUCUCCAAGGAUCCACGCUAUCAAAAACAUAAUCUAUGCAUUAUUACGAGAAUAAAAAUACCCAUAUUGCAUCAUUGUUCUUUAGAUCCAAAACGACACCAAAAACUUUUAAGUGGGUCCCAAAUACGGAAAUCGAGUUUUCGAGACCAACCCAACGUUCAAAUACCAUUAGGAAGUUAAAAACCUCAAUAAAGUUGUGCAAAACAAUCAUAUUUGGGCUAAAAUCAAGCCUCAAGCCAUUUGGAUUUUUGGUAAAAAAUUCAAGCAAUUAGAGUAUGAAAUGGAAAGAUUCUUACCUUAAAUCCGUUGUUAAUCGCAAAUAUAAAUUUCAAUCUAGCUUCUAAUUCACCCCGAAGACUCAAUUUGAAGUCAACAUAUCAUUAUAGGGAAGCUAGGGUUCAAAGAGAGAUGAAAAAAUCCCAAAUAUCGACCAAGGGGCCUUUGUAUACGCGCAUAAAUGGGGCCCACAAGGUUAAAACUUAUUUUUGACCUUCCGAACUCAUUUGGAUUUCGUUUUUUGUAGACGAACUAUGUAAUCCCACUAAUUUUGAUGUUCCGGAUGCAUUGGUGAAAUAGGAUUUUCCAUCCGAAUUCAUUUAAUAUAUUUAUGGGUCCCACACUCAUAUCUUCUGAUUUUUUUACUUUUCAACCAAUGGGUCAAAAUGAGCUCAGAUGCAGUGGGAUACGAACCAAGGGUCUACCUAACAUAAAAUCAAUAUUUUAGAGUUGUUGGCGCAGUCGAAAUUUGCAUCCAAAAUUAUUUUACUUAAGUUUUCGCUCGGCGACCAUUUGGGAUCAACGAAGACUUCUAAAUGGAAAAUUGGCUCUAAAAAUCAAACGAACUACUUGGUAAUCGAACUAUCAGUUCCAACAAAUCAUAAAUAACUUGGGGAAGAUAUGAAAAAACUCUAACGGUGAGAAUAAUAGAGAAUACAAAAAUGACUUGAAGGGUCAUUACACAAUUAUGUUUAAUGGAGAAAAAAUAAUGAAGUUAAUUUGACAUAAGGCAAAAUAUUAAUUCAGAUUGCUAAAGACUUUAAUUUAACAACUUUUAAUAAAAUAAAAAUGAGCCGAGUUUUAGUGCAUGCAUUUUCUUGAAAAACUAAAAGAAAGUCUAUAAUAUACUCUAAAAGAAUUAUUUUAAAACUUACAAAAACUUUUACUCCCUUCUGUUUAAUUUGUUUGUCUGAUUUUAACUUAGUAAAAGAUUUUAAAAGUAGCGAAGAUUUUUAAAUUUUGUGAUCUUACACUAAAGAAAUUUAAAAGGGAUCAAAAUUAGGAUUAUUUAAAAUAAAACCGAAAUCGAUAACUCAAGUGCAAAAUUAACUUUAGAUUGUUGAUAAUAAGUUAUCGGAUUAAUGGUUGGUAAAUAAAUUAAAAUUUAUAGUUAAUGACUUAUCGAUGCAGGCAGAUUACUCAAUUUUCUCAUCAGACAAAUCGUUAACCUGUUAAGAAUUGUCAUAUUUACAUAUUUACCCCUAGUUAUCUAAAGUAUCUCUUGCACAAAAAGUAGAACCUCAAUCAGUAUUCUAUUUACUUCUUAGAUUAGGAAAUAAACAACUUCUUGUAACUUCUAACUAUAAAGUGUAGUAGGUCUCCCUAAAAAAUAAAUUAAACCUGAAAUAAAUUCUUAAUUGAAAAGAUAAAUUAUUCUUGACAAUAUGAAGGACCACAACAAAAAUGAAACAACUCCAAUGUAUUCUUCACAAAGUUUAAUAUAAAACUGAAAUUGAUAUAUAAUUUAAAAUUUUAGAAAUUGUUAAACUAUCUUUAACUAAUAUAAUAUAACAAAAACAAACAAAGAUUAAGAGUAAAAAAUAGAAAAAAAAUUAGAAAUUUAAAUGUUAAUAUAGCUUGGGCUCGAGCUUAGCACGGGCCAAAUGACACUAGAUAUGGUAGAAACAUUAUAUUAUGAAGAACCAAAAUAACUAGAAAAUAGAGUGUAUAUGGUAACAACUAACAUUAAGGGGUCGUUUGGUGUAAUGUAUUAGAACAAACAAUCCCGGGAUAAAAAUUUUGAUUGCUUGUUUGUUGUUAAGUUUGGGAUAACUUAUCCCGGUAUUAACAAAUAGUACUGGAAUAAGUUAUCCCAUCUUUUUGAAGGUAUAACUAAUCCCAUUAUGAUUUGUCUUGGGAUAAAAUCAUGAAAUGACAAAAUUACCCACAAAAUCUUUUGAUUAUCACUUGCACUGUGUGACUAACUUUGUUUUAAGAUUAAGUUAGACCUCCAUCUGCUAAUAUUAAGCUAUCUAGAAGAGUAUGUAUUAGUUUUUCUCCGUCUGUCAUCUUACAGCAAUAUUUGGGAGGAAUUAAGACAUUGUUGUUGCUGUCUUCUAAUAAAAGUUGUCAGUUUGUUGCUAAGCAUAAAAUAGGAUGAAGAUUUUGACACUAGGAUUUUUCUCAAUUAUGUUUGUGCAUUCAAAUGCCUCAUCAAACUCCACCGUUUCAAAAAAGAAAAUUAUCAAUUGAAGGAUUCUUCUUAAUGGUCAUAAAAAAACUUCUUUGUUAAUAUAAUUUAUCUUUCAUGUACGUGUACCACCUUUACAUGAUCAUACAUCCUAACUUAGCAAACUACAGUACUCCAGCAAAAAUAGCAUGUCGUAAUGCCUUACGCAGACUCUUCUUCCAUUAGCCGUGUAAAUAGUACUUCCUCCGUUUCAAAGAGAAAUACCUACUUUGACUUGACACAAAUUGUAAGAAAAUAAAGAAGACUUUUGAAUCUUAUGGCCUUAAAUUAUAGUUGUGUCAAAUGUAAUAAAAUGCCCUUUAAUCUUGUGGUCCUAAACAUGUCAUGAGGAAAGUUGAAAUUAAAGUAUUGCCAAAAAAGGAAAGGGGUUAUUCUUUUUGAAACGGACUAAAAAGAAAAGUCGCUUUUUGAAACGGGAGAGUAUUCUUUAGGUGUUUGUUAACACACAAAAAAAAUCAUAAAAAUGUAUACAUAAAAAUUAAUAAGCUAAAUAAAGUGAAGGGUAUUUUUGUAAACAAAGAAUAUAUCCUUAAAAGGAAAGUAAUGCACAUUAUUUUUAGUAACACAAAUCAAACAGCCAUCAAAAAUUAAUAUCAGGUUAACUAAUCCCACGACAACUAUCCCAGCAUAACUAAUCCCAGCAUAAGUUGUCUUCAAACCAAACCACCCCUAACAGUGAAAUGCAUAAGCAUAACCCAUCUUUAUAUACCUUUGAUGUUCUUUUUAUUUCUUUUAACACCAUUAAUUAGCAAAAUAAGGUAAUUCCUUUUAUGUCAAGUCACAACUUGCAAUAUUUAAAAGGGUAUAGGAUAUGGUCUGCUGUUUUCUUUUUCAUGACCACACACGCUUAUGGAAGCAAACAACAAAGACUGUCAACCAAGCAAUUAAGCCAAAAAGUAUGGUCAUUGGUCAAUAAAAAGGCAAAUGCUAGACAUCUUAGUUCCAUCCAACCAUAUUCACUUCUAUUUUACCACUACAUUAACAACUUAUAAACUAGAAAAAUGUCAAGAAUCUUGCACAAGAUUGAAGAGAAGCUACAUAUACACCACCACAAACAUGGAGAUGAUCCAGCAACAGUUCAAAACAAACCAAAAGAGACCCAUGAGGUUAAUGAUGAAAGCAAUGUAGAUAAGAAAGAGGAUAUUGAU